Molecule: long non-coding RNA, 56252 nt
Filed under: Phaseolus vulgaris (common bean)
Lineage: Eukaryota; Viridiplantae; Streptophyta; Magnoliopsida; Fabales; Fabaceae
Description: long non-coding RNA (PVUL_LNC003695)
Source: RNAcentral
ACUUUGAGUGAAAUACUAAUAAUAAUAAUCGUGGUAGUAGUAAUAAUAAUAAUAAUAGUAUCUUAAUAAAAAAUAUUUAUUAUAAAGAAGUAUAUUUAUAAAAAAAAUAUAUAUACUUUAAGAAACAACUACAGUAAAUCUAAAUUUUGAGGUGUGUAUUUAUAAAAAAGAUUAAAAAAAAAGAAUUAACUUGAGCAAAAUCAAAACUAAAGAUAUUUAUUUAUAGAUUGGAUAAAAUUGAAAAUCAAUUACGACAAUUAAAUUUUGAUGCCAGAAUUUAUAGAAAAUGGUAAAAGAAAAAAAAAUAUUUGACACGUAAAAACAUUAAUUUGACAAUCCAUUAUAAAAAUAUACAUUAGUAUUUAAAUUAAGUUGUUUGAUAGGUGUAGUAAGUUUAUUUUAGUGUCAUGUAAUUCAUAGAAAAUAAUAUUGUAUGCAAAAUACUCUUUCUUAUCAUUUUUAAUUAAAGAAACCUCUUUUAAAUUAUUUUCAUAAACAAGAAUCGAAGUGAAAUUGAUGUGAUUGGAGUGUGUUAUGGUUUUUGGGUGUAUGAAGCGAAGGUAGAACAAUAGGAAAACCCAAGCUUUAUGGGAGUUGGUGUGGAAAGAAACUGUGGGAGGAAGGAUAUAAGUCAUUGUAAAAGAAAGAAAAGGAAUUGUUUUAAGAGUGGGUUGGUCCAAUUGCAGGUGUUCCCAGACUGCACUCAAUUUGUUGUGCUUAUUGUUGCAUGAAAGUGGGAAGUGAGUUGCUAAAAACAUGAUUUUGUAUGUAAGAUAUGAGAGGAAUAGAGAAGAUACAAGACUUACUUCUUUUGGGAGAACAGUGUUGAUCUGGGCAAUAGUAUUCGCAUGAAACUACAUGUCCAUCGUAACCAUCCAUCCCGCAGUUACUUUCGUUGCAUCUUGUGCAAUGUUGAGGAACAUCAUAGUAGACCUCAAACCCAUCAUUCAAAGCUUGUUGCAGAACUCCAGCUCCAUCAUCACUAUCAUCAUAAUGAUUCAGAGGAGCCGCACUGGGCAACCUCAAACUUCUCUUGCACUGCUUAAGCAGUGGGUAUUUCUCGAGCAUCUCAUCCUCCUUGUAUGCCUCCUCAAAAUAAUACACACCAUCCUCCCCGCACGUCCAUUUGCGUUUUGAAGGGAAUUUCGGGAUGUCAAGAGGACAACCAUGGAAGAAUACGGUGACGUUGUGCACUGAAGCGUAAUACUGUAACAGAGUGCUGUUCAAGUUCUCGUAAUUCUUCAAAAAUUCAGGAGAACAAACAUCUUUGACAGUGUCUGUUGGUACCAGUGUCAUGGUGUGAGUGGUGUGGUCGAUAUCCUUCACCGUCAAAUUUUGAUGUUCAUAACGAUCAUAUUUAUAAGGAUCAUAGCAGAUGAGCUGGGAUGAUGGGUGGGCGCCUUUACAUUGAGACGCUGGACUCUGUUCCCAGAAAGGAUCCAGGAUGGCGGUGGCGGAAACGUUUAUGCUGCACAUGUAUGACUGUGGAGCACAAGGCGGUGGCGGUGGCGGUGAUUGAGAGUGGGAGUAUGGGAAAGCGAUGAAGAGGAAGAAAGAGAGGGUGAGUGUGGUGUGGAUCUCAUUCAUUAUCGUAGUUCUUCUCAUUUCCCUCUCUCAGAGAAAUGAAAGGUAUAGAAGAAGCAGUUCUUCACAGCGCCAUACAUACCAAUUAUCCACACACUCCUCCCACGAAACUACCUCCUUCUUUCUUCUUACUUUCUUCUUUCUUCUUAAUUUCUUCACACUCAUAAAUGAAAGCUAUAGAAGCACUUAUGAACACACUCCUCCCACGAAACUACCUUCUUCUUUCCUCUUACUUUCUUCACUCCCAACAAAAUACAUUUCAAUUUUCCCCAAACACGACUCGGUCUCUUCCUCUCUCCCUCAUUCAAAGAAUUAGGGAACAAACUCUGUUUAAUUUUGAAAUAAAAGAUAUAAAAAAAGUGUAAAAUGUAGAUGCAAAAUCUUAAAAUUAAAUUCCACCGAUUAAUCUAGAUUAUAAAAGUCAAUAUUAAAGGUUUAUUUGAGAUAUUAAGAUAAAUUUAUAAUGCUAAUUAGAGAAUAGCCACGAAAAUAAGUAAAGAGAUCAAAUAUAUACAUAUUGAAUGUGGAAAAGAAAAAAUGUUCAUUCCAAUUAAGUUUUGAAUUCUAGUACAAAAAUAAUAAUUUCUUUGAUGUAAAACUGCUCAAAACAAACCUAGUAAAUGAAUUGUGCAAAGAACUAAAAACUAAAACUCUCUACCAACCCCUCUUUAUCAUUUCUAAUUUUUUUUUCUCGUUUUACUAAGAAGCUAUAUAAUCAACUCUGAGUUAGAGACAAGGAAAUUAGAGUAUAUUAAGUUGGAAAAGAUUUUGUUGAAAAAAAUAAAAAAAACUUACCCUUGACAUUAUAUUGUAAUAAUAUAAUAAUAUUUUUAACUAAAAAAUAAAUUAAAUAUAAUUAAAUAUUAAUUUUUUGGUAUGUGAAAUGAAUGUUUGACACUGUAUAUGCUGUUAACGUAUCAUCACUGUACUACUUUUGACCUUUUAUUGAUAGGAGUUCGGUUGAUACACGUUUAUAUAUGUUCUACUCCAAACUCUAAUUAUACAAAGAUAGCCUAAGAGGAUUUUACAAAAUAGCAUUUUUUGUAUCUACUUUCAUUUAUAUUUCUGUGGAGCUAAAGAAAAAAAUGCAGACAAACAGCAUUUUUUUUAAAAUCUAUUUUAUGUUUUUAAUUUUUGUGAUAAAUUAGAUGCAGACAAUUUUUUACUUCAAAAGCCCCACUUUCAACAAUUUUUUCUUAUUUCCUCUAUUUGCGUUCUCUACUAUCGAUUUAGUUUAUAUUUUCACACGGUUCAUAUUUCUGAUUGGACUUAUCAACGUAAUAAUCGUAUUUGAAAUGAAAUAGUAAAACCUCUAUGAAUUCAUUCUUUCUUUGACAAAUACUUUUUUCAUACAAAUGACCUUAAUCAGACCGCAAAGGAGUUCAACCAAAUGUUUCCAUGAGCAUUGCUAGUAACACACUAAAACAGACUCUUCAUACUAUGAUAGUAAGAAUCCAUACAACUUUAAUUUCUAUUAAACUUUAUCCUAUAAGAAAAAAAGUAUGUUCAAGAAUGUGUUAAAACAUUUAGCAUCUCUAUCACCAGUCGUGUCAAUUCAUCAUUUUAUUGCUGUUACAAGAAAACAGCCUCACACAAAUAACAGAAAAGAUUCAGAGUGGAUGAAAAAUGGCAAAAGAACGUGAAUGCUUGGGACUGUUCAAUGAAAAUUACUUCUAAAAGUCAAUAAAAAUGGUCGUAUCAAAGAAAAUUCCAGAUACAUAGUCUGUCAUCACACUAAUUCGUAAAAACAGCCUGGGUGGAAACGAGUUACCAUGUCUGUAAGUUUGCAAGCACAGAACCAACAGUUUCUAAGCCAAGUACAAGGGGCUGCUCUUGCCAGCAGUGACUCAGAAAGCAGCAGGCAAACCAGGCUCCAUGUAACUUGGAAGUCUCCUCAUCUUUUGUCGCCUUAGGAUGUGUUCUCUUUAACCUAAGAAAUUGUUACAAUGGCAGAAAACAAAUAAAGAAAAAUCACGAUCCGAUUAGAUCAGGUGUUUCUGCCUCGAUGGAUAACAAUGCAGUGUGUACUUUCCCUGUCCAACUGUCAAGUCUAUCCCUUAAGGAUUUGAUCUGUUGAAUACCCAAAACUCUUGGUUGCACCCAGGAGACGUGCACUGUGCCCUCAACUUGAUCAAUUAUACCCUCAAUUAGAUGAACCUGCAAAUAAAGAAAUUUACUUUCAAGCUCUAAAUUUUAAAACGUUAUUUGCCGAAACCUCUAUAUGAUAAUAAUAAAGUUCUCAAUUAAAGAAACUUCCGAUUGCUUUGCUUAGAACAAUUCAUGGACAACUAAAAAUUCUUUGAAACAAGUACAUAAUGCAAUAAAUACAUUCAAAAUGAAGUUGUCUUUUGUACUCCUUGUAAUAAACAUUAAGAUAAGGAGCAAAGUAAGUAUUUCAAAACCACAGCCACAAUAUUCAAUAAGACCCUCUGCUUAAUCACAGAAAAGGUGUAGAUAUACAAGUAAAACAACAUAUUUGUUUGAAUGGGAAAAAAGAUCCCAAGUCUAAAGCAAGCUUCAGGAGGUAAUGAAAGGACAAGAUGAAAGCAAGACUAAAAAGUUAACACAACACCAAUUCCAAACAGCCAAAAAAGCAUUUCAACUUUGAACCUAGGACAAACCCUUUGGACUUAAUAUUGCAAAUAAUCGGCUCAAAGUUCUAACAUCAGAUAAAUAACGCAUUCUGUGCAAAAUUCCCGAGAUUUAUAAACCCUAGUAAAAGAUGCAAAUGCUCUGCAAAAUUUUAACCAAAUACACUUCUUCACUUUAUGUCAAUUAAACUCUUAAAAUCAACCAAUUCACUUGUCCCAUUUUAACCCACUUCUUAGUAAUGGAUGUAGUUAAUUUUCAGGUGAUAAAAAUAGAGUUAAUUGCCAAUGAAAACUACAAAGAAUUAUCUAAUAGACAAUCAAAGUCAAAACAGAUUAUUUGCAUUGCAAUACUGCCAAUAGGCAAGAAAUUUGCCUUAAAUGAAAUCAAGCAUCAAAAGCACUUCUGAAGAUGUUUGAACAGGCAGAUCAUACCACUCACUUUGACAAAUCUGGCACAAGAUGGUAGGUCAUUUUCAGCAUGGCAAAAGUACAUCAUUAGGUGUUGCUUAUGUAUCACGGUUAAUAACUAGAACUCAAUAAACAACUAUAUAUUGUAUAAGCAAUAAUCAACACAACAUAAUUCUUCAACUGAGUAGGGACAUGUCAACUGCUCGAGACUCAAGAACUUAAUAAAAUACCAGUUAGAUUAUAGUUUGUAUCUCCAUUCCCAAACAGAAUAUAAGCUUAAAACACUAUGAUCACACUAAUUAAUUGCCAUCAUAGAUCAAGCCUUGGUAGAAAAUAAUAUACACUAAUAAAAAUGAGAAGAAAACAGAAAACAUCAUAAGCUAUUUCACAUUUACAGAAAUGCAUGGGUUGAAAGAAAGUGUAGUACUUUAAAUGGUUGCAAAGAAAAUCAAACAAAUUUUCUACAUUGUUUUCCUAAUAACUUCUAACACAACUUACAGAUAAGCUCUUCAUCAGGAGAUGUUCCACAUUUUCUAUAGAAAGUUUGGUACGCUCAGCAAUUACAUUCAAGGGAAUAGUUCGAUCUUCUGAAGGCCGACUGCAAGAAAUGGAAAUCAGUUUGAAUUGGGAAUGAAAAAAAAAACAGGUUAUUAAAUACACCUCAACAGGUGACAAAAAUGCAAUCUAAUUAACUAUACACCUGAAUAUAAUCUCCAUCAGGCAGAGAAUGUUGAUUUUUUCCAACAACUUCUGUUCAUUUUGAACCAGUGCUGGUUGGGCUCUUAAAGCAGCAUUAUGCACCCGGCACAAUUCUUGAUAUCGUACUAAAUCACCAGAAUUGAAUACCUGCAGAAUGUAGUAAAGCCAUUCCACUUUUGUCCCUAGAAGGCUCUUGAUCUGUUUAACAUAUUAUAGGCUGUGUGAACCAACAUAGUAAAAAGAUAGAUGAAACAAAGAAAUUUCAGAAAAUAGGCGUUCCAAAUAUUUUGGUGUAAUUACUCACUAUAGGAUGGGCAAGUAGCUCUCCAAAGUUGUAGAUGUUGUCCCCAAGAAGGGCAGAGAGGGACAAAUCAAAUGCUAAAUCCUAAAAAUAAAAAAUAGCACAUUAAUUCAUAUAAAAUCUGCAGAGAAAUAGAAACAAACCAUAAAUGAGAUAUAGACUACUAUGAACUCUGCUAUAACCUCUUCUCAUCCCUUAUACAACACAGUGCACCUAAAUGUAUUUAUAAGCCUCUGACAAAGUUUCCAUUUUACUAAAGAAAAAUGCAUCAAUUUAUCUUCAAACUCCUCCACAUUAAUCUUUCUAAGGUUGACACAAUGACAUUUGCAAUGUCGGGACGAAGCAGCAAAAUAAAAGUAAAACAAGCUAAAAUUUUAACACAUAAUAUAUAAAUAUUACAUAGAUGAAGCACAGUUAGACUUAGACACAUCAACUAGCUUUAAUUACCACAGGGACAACAUAAAAUUGGACUGCAGCUGCCAUGAGCUUUGAGCUCCCGUGUCAUAUAUAUAUAACUCUAUAGGAGAAAAAUGUGAUUCAAGAGAAUAAAUAUCACUCCUUGAUACCAACAAUUGGAUGUGUCAUUAUCACACACUGUAAAUUAAUAAACAGUCUUAGCCAUAUGCUUUUGGAAAGUAUCACCAAUUAUGGAGCUCCUUAUCAUUGUCAUCUUCCUUCUUCCCCUCCCUUACAGAUUUUGUUGGAGAGAAAAUACAAUUUGCAUAAUUCAGAAAGAAUUGCCAUAUAUGCAAUAGUCACAACCAGUGUUGUCUAAUUCCAAAAGUUUUGGCACCCAUCGUCAUCCACUAUUUGUAGAUAAGGAGCUUGAUGGAUAACAAAAGGAAGCAAGUUGAAAAUGGAGAGGGUCAAGAUGGAACAUCAUCUCAAGGAGUUUCUAUAAAAGGAAAAGGAGGAGCUUCUGAAACUAGAAAGGAGUUCUGGUUGAAGAAUUGGAUAAAAUAGUAGUGAGGAGGAAGAAUUAGACGAAAGGAUUGCAAAAUAUUAAUUUGGAAAUGUCAGUAGAGGAAGAUGAAGGAGAUGCCUCUUUUGAUGAUGAGGAUGACGAUUUGUUUUGCAAUGAGUCAAUGUGUCUUUAGUAUUGCCCUAUUGUUAUGUGAUGACAAUCACAUGACAUUGAGACUUAGAUAAAUGUUAUGAGUUUUAGUUUUAUGUUGUUUUUAAUAUAUUUGUCACUUUUUAAAUUUGUAUGUGUGUAUAUAUAAACACAUUGUCAGCCAUGACUUCCGCCAUAAGCCAUUGUUCCAACCGCUCUAUUUAUAUGGCGGAUUUUUUUGGCUUUCUAUCUCCCCUUGAAAUACAAAGCAUAAAUUUAUUCAAAAGUAACCAUUUUAAGUAAAUAGCCAUAAAUUGAGACAACAGAAAAGUAGAUUUGCAACAAUUGUGAUGACACACCAGCUUAAAUGAUUCUGAGAGAGACUCCACUGAUGUGUAUGCCAAAUAGAGAAGGGCACUUUUGUAGAACUCUGCAAAUUCUUGGCGGGUCUUGUGAAAUUGAGAUGAUACCCAGUAAUAAUUGGCAUAUACAGAUGGAUCAAUAUCCGUCAUGCUGUCAAGUGUAGUCUUACCAUCUUCUAGGAGUUUCUUGCUUUCCUUCUGGUCACCUUGCUCAAGCUUGAAUAUUGCUAUUUGCAUCUUAAUGUAAAGGAUAGGUUCUUCUAUGCGCUGUUCUCUGGUGGCUUGCAGUUUCUCAAUGACUGCUCCAAGAUAACCAAUUGCCGCUUCUUUUUCAGAAUACUGCCGAGAAACUAUAACAGCAAAAUGCGCAAGCUUCAGAAGGUUGAUUUUAGUCUCAAAGUCUGUGAUGAAAUUGUGAUAUAAUUGAAUCAACGCAUCACCAGCCUGAAAUUUUUUGCAAUAACCAAUUAUAAAACAAAAGAAACUAUGAACUAUAAUAAGAAUACAUGCCAGAAAGUGAAUUUCUUUCAAUAAAAAGUAAAGAAAUAUUAUAUUAGAAUCAAAAGGAAAUAGCAAUAUCCACAAACUGUACAACAUAAUAAACGAAAUCAAACAUAAUAAUUAAUAGUUGAGUACAAGAAUGAGUGACAUGACUAACAUAAUGGAAUCAAACAUGUGCAAUAGUUAAGUAGAGGCAUUACUGGGCAAUAAAGUGGUCAGGAUAGUUCUACUUCGGGUUAAUUAACAACCAAUGUCGUUAAAUAGUGGCCAUGGUAGCGGUAUGCAGAAAUCAGUCAGGCACCAGAAAAUGGCGAUAGGGUGGCUGGUUUUUAUGGUGAGUUGUGGCAGCCACAAAAUGCAAGGCAGACAUGGCAUCUGAAAUGGCCAUGGCAAAAUGCCUGUCAAGAACAAAGAGAUGAAUGAGUUGGGUCAUGACACCCAGCCCCAAAAAAAUCUGAAACCCUAAAACAACAAAAGAAAUGGUCUGGGCCAAGCAACCCAACCCAAACCAUGUCUAAAAAAGAUUGAAAACCUUUUAAAAGUAUAGAAUACAGGUUGGACUGCAUGACCCAACCCCAAAACUAUUUUUAAAAAAUAGGGCCCUGGCCUGACCCAAACCACAGCCAAAAGAAUUAAUGAAACACCCCACUAGUUAGAAAACCUUAAACCAAAAGAAAAGAAAAGCAUCAACAGUACGUUGCAAAAUCGCAUGGAGCUGGACAACCACCCAAGCACUGUCACAGGCAUCUCCAGAAACCACUGCACCUGAGAUGGAUCAGCACCGCACUACCCUAACACCCAGCAACUAUUACAGCCAUCUCUCGCAACCACCACACCAAAGUUGUACUAUAGAGAACCACCCCAGCAACUGUCACAGACUCACAGCCAUCUCCAACUACCAACCAGCAACAUAUUUCUAUGGACUUCAUUGAAGAAUUACCCCAAUCCCAGGGUAAGCAAUGCAUUUUUGUUGUAGUGGACAGGCUUAGUAAGGCUGCUCAUUUUAUAACCCUCACUCAUCUUUACACUGCACCCGUAGUGGCUCAAUCCUUCUUAGACAAUGUAUUCAGAUUGCAUGGCUUUCCUGAAUCUAUAAUUAGUGUCAGGGAUCUGUUAUCAUCAGUAAAUUCGGGCAAGAACUGAUCCAUGUCAAGGUGUACACCAUUGAGGCUUUCUAGUGCUUAUCCACAAACAGAUGGUCAAACUGAAGUUUUGAAUAAAUGCUUAGAAACUUACUUAAGGUGCAUGCUGUCAUAAAACCCUCAACAAUGGGUUAAAUGGAUUCCUUUGGCAGAAUCGUGGUAAAAUACCACAUAUUACACAGCAAUAGAUGCCACUCAUGAGAUUGUGUAUGGCCAACCUUCCAACAACUUCAUUACCCUAUUUACCUGGUGGUGAGUCUACUGUGGUGUUAUUAGACAGAAGUCUUACAAAAAGGGGAGAGAUGUUAAGUUCGAGAUUUGGUUUAUUUGAAACUUCAUUCCUAUAGACAAGGCUCAGCAGCAACUAGAAGUAAUGAGAAACUGGCUCCUAUGUACUAUGGUCCUUUUCCUGUGAUUGAUAAGGUCGGGGCAGUGGCUUAAGUGUUACAGUUACCCAUAACUUCUCAAAUUCACAAUCUAUUCCUUGUUUCUCAGUUAAAGAAAUACAUUGGUGAUGCUACAAAUUCCUCAGUUUUGCCUCGCCAUAUAACUGAUAUUUCUGAUGUAAAGGAACCAGAAGCCAUUCAUGACAGAACCUUUGUCAAAAAGAGAGGACAGGCAGUGACAAAGUACUGGUGCAGAGAAAAAUCAGUGUCCUGAAGAUGCAACUUGGUAAUAUUACUCUGAUCUUCUCAAAAAAUUUCCACAUUUUUAUAAUCGUUCAGGACAAGGAUUUUCUUAAGAGGGGGAAAUUGUUAGAGUCUGCAUUUUUAGUAGUUAUAACAAAAUUAGUUUAGCUGAUGACAGCUAACGACUUGUUAACUAACUCUAUAAAUAGUUAGUGUGAACAUGAAUGAAAGCUCUCUUGCUUUUGAUAGACAACUAUAUAUAAAGAAAGUCUUGAUGUUCUUUAUAUUAUAGAACUUCCUGAAAUUUGAGAUUCUUCGAGCUCUUUAGUUCCUAGUAUCUUGUGUUCUAUUAGUUACCGUAUCACACAUGUUCCACACUUUAUCCCAUAACAUACCAGGUCGCUAAAAAUCUUCACUCAUCACUCCCCUCCAAAGCUAAAUAACUAAAAACGUAAAACCCAACUCCAAAUCAGGUGCCCAAACAUGUAUCCCCAGCAAAAACCUAAUUACAAUCCUUUAACAUCCCAGUCCACAUUUCCCACCCAACAUCUUCGGAUCCCUAACGAAAAUCAAACGCUAUCCUAGUGAAAAAAAUGUUCCCAUGUUUCCCACCGUUCCAAACACAACAAAACCCUAACGGCAGCACAAUCACUCUCUCACUACACCUCCCCUAACUCCCAAAUCGAGCUCACACCAACAAUGACAUAAAAACAAACAAAUUAAAACCCUAAACUAACCAUUUCCGAAACAAAACAAGCAUAAAUACAGUACAGCUCGAGAGCAAAGAAGAAGAGUGGAACCUGAAAAACAGCGAGUGCGACAAACUGCUCGAGUUUGAGGGUGAGCUGAUGCCAUAGCUUCUUCUGAUACAGAUCCGCAAGCGAAUUGUACCAUUCAGCCAACUCAGGUUGCGAAUUGCGCAGCGAUUCCAAGUAUUGCAGAGCAGCCAUAGCGAUUGAAACCAGAGAAAACCCCCAAACUACGAAAUUGAGAACCUUUGUACUCUCUCUUAUUUCUUCUCGGUGUUAUAAUAAAAUAUAUUGUAUUUUACAAUAUAAUCAAUUAUGUUAUAAUAUAAUUAGUUGUUGUUAUAUUUGACAACAUAAUUUACUUUUAUAGAUGCAUAUGCCAAUUAUUUUUAUUUAUAAAAUAUAUUAUUAUCAACCUUUAUUUUUAUUUAAAAUUAACUAAAUCGUGUCAAAAUCGGAUCAAUAAACUCUUUUACUUUGUUGAAUCAUCAAUUCAAAUAAAUAAAUGACAAAAUUUAUCUUUGAUGAUGUCUAUUUAAAUUUGUAUAGGUGUGAUUGAUGUUUCUGAUGAUAAUUUUUUGAAAAUAUUUUACAAUUCUAAAUAAAUAGAGUUAAUUUGGAUAACAUCUUCAUCAUAAAUAAAAAUAAAUAAAGGUUCAAUAUAUGUAAUAUAACACAAAAGUUGAAAUUUUAUAUUAUCCAAAUAAAAAUAAAUUGAAUGAGUCUUUCUACAUGUAAAAUUAAUUUAAUUUGAGAUUUUACUUUAUUAACCUGUUAAAAAUAGUAAUCGAGAAAAUGAAUUUUGAAAAAAAAAAAACUAACAAUAUGCAUAUUAAUACUACAAGAAAAUCAUUAAAUAAAAAUUAAUUUUAAAGAUAAAAAAUAAUUAGUUGUUAUAGUAACUAGACUAAAAAUAAUUAUUGAUUUUUAAAUUAGUUUAUAUUAUUGAUAAAUAGUAUCUCAGUUUAGGAUCUAAAUAAUUGGUAGUUAAAACCUUGAUAACUAAUUAGAUAUCAAUUUAAAAACUAUUUAUCAAUCAUAGAAACUAAUUUAAAAACCAAUAAUUUUUUUUAGUCACUAAAAUGAUUUCUAAUUUAGUCACAACUAAUUAUUUUUUGUCUCUAAAAUUGGUUUUUAUUUAAUAAUUUUAUUGUUGGGUGAGUAUUUUGUUUACUUUUGAAAAUUAUUUUAUCUGUUUUAAAUAAAAAAAAUUUGUUUAAUUAGAUAUUUUUUGGAAAACUGUUUCAAAAAAUAAUAUCUCGUUUUAAAUUUGAAAAUAAAAUAAGAAAAAGAGCAUCUGAAGUUAAAUUAUUUUAUAUUUUUACUUUUUUUAUUACCCAUUAUUCUUAUACUAUAUUUCAUAUUUGAUUUCUAUUUGUAACAAUGGCUGCACGUGGAGUAGGUUUACAUGAGUUUCUAAUAAAAUUACCAAGCUAUAAUUUUCUUCUUUUUGAAAAAAAAAAUCAUCGUUUUUUAAUUUCUAUAAAAUUUUAAAUAAUUUUUUUUAAUGAUUAUAAAAUAAAUAAAUUUUCACUUUGUUUUCUUUAAAAUAUCUUUUUAUUUUCAAAACAUUAGAGUUUUCAACAUAACGUGUGAGGAGGAUAAUGGACAAUGCAAAGAGAGGUUUUGAUGAGUGUAGUUGGUGUUUUAAGCUAAUAGUAGUUUGGGUAUAAAGAUAAUAAUACUUCCAUGUAAGAGUAAAUCACCUAAAGCUUGAUAUUGUGACUUAAAUCAUUGUUUAAACUGCUUUCACGACCAAGACAAAUAUAUAACAUGGAAAAGAAAACAUCUUGUUGUGAUUAUACCACAAUUAUCGUCGUAUUGCAGAUGAUGUUGUUGGAAACCAUUUUUAUGAAAAAUCAUAAUUAAUGAGUAUUAGUAAUUAACUUAUUGAAUAUAUUUAAUGAUAAACAUUUCAACUUGUAUCUCACUCUCGAAGAUUUUGAAGUUCAACUUAAAAAAUUGAAGAUGGUGUUUUCAAGGUAUCUUGAAAAUGUGACAAACAUUAAUUAUCUAUUAUCUCUUUAUAAAGAAGUUUUUCUCUCAUUCUCUAUAUAAAUAAACAUGUGAGAAAGAGAAAGAUAAACAAAAAAAAGUAACAUUGAGAGAAUAAAUAUCUACCAUAAUAUGAUAUUAGAAAUUCUCGUAAAAUGUAUAACAUAAAUAUUAUUUGGUUUAGGAUUUAAAACUAAGAAGAUAGAGAUGGUAAGGAGUGAAAGGACAUAGUCAUCCAUUAAUAAGAAGUUAAUGUUUGGUAUAUCAUAUCAUUUGGCUUCUGAAAUUAAAGAAGUAUACUUUUUCAAAUAAACCAAAAGGCAAACUAAGGAAAUUUAACCCCAUUUCUUUGAAAGGUAAGUUGAAGAAAGAAAAUUUGGGGGUUUGCCUUCAAAGCAAAGAAAUUAUUAGCUAGGAACCAAUACUGAUAGAGUCAACUUUUGUAAUAGUGUUUUUUAUAUAGAUUUUUUUUGGACAAUGUACUUCUUUAGAUGAAAAGAUAUAUUUAGAAAUUUUCUAUAAAUGUACUGUAAAUAUAAAUUUAAAAUACCACGCAUGUUUUAUAUUAAAAUUAAUUAUUUUAGUUGACAACUUUUAAUGAGAUUAUGAUUUAAAAAUAAAAUAUAUGAAAAAAUUUAAUUUAUAUAUGAAACAUUUUUGUAGAUUUCAUUUAUUUAUGGAUGGAAACUUACAAAAGGAUAAUUUCAUGGGUUAUAAAUUCAUAUUUAAGCUUAAUAAAUCUGAGGGUGAAUUAAGAAAAAUAAAACCAGAAAUAUGUUUUAAAAAUAGCAAGCAUUGAGUCCAGAUGCCAAGAUUGAAAGAUGGUGGUGUGCCCUAUAGCAUUAACUAAUAUUCGAUCUUGAAACUAAAAGAAGUGUUUGAUGAAAAAGUAACAUUUUAUACUGUUUUAUUUAUAUAGAGUGCAAUGCUAUUAUAAGGUGACAAUGGAAUUGAUAUUUAAAUGGAAUGAUACAGAAAUUCAGUCAAAAGAAAGAAAGAACUAGAAAAAAAUUGAAAAAAUUAUGUUGAACCCAUAGACAAAAUAACAAAGUCAAUAACAUCGUUUAAGAAUGAAUACAAUAUAUACAACACCAGAAAUAGAAAUAACUACAAGAGAAGGAAAAGAAGUUGAAGUAGAGAAAGAAAUUUAAAGAGAGAGUUACAUUUGUCACUUGUCUAUCAACUACAAUCUGUAAUUCAUAUGAUCAUAACAAACUACUUUGAUCUUACUUAUACUAACAACUUUAUUUGACCAAAAACUUUUAGUUAUAUACAUAACACAAUUUUAUCUAACAUGAACAUUUGCAUAUAAUAUGUUGGUAGAAGUAUGAAACCUAUUAUGUUGAACGAUUUAUUUUUGGAAUAUCAACCUAAAUUUGUCACUUGUCUAUCAAUUACAAGUUGUAACUGAUUAGAGCAGAUUACUUUGAUAUUAUCUAUAGUAACAACUUUAUUAGACCAAUAACUCUUAGUUAUACGCAUAAUACAGUUUGAUCUGACAUAAACAUUUGCAUACAAUAUGUUGGCACAAGUAUGAAAUCCGUUAUGUUGAACGAUUCACUUUACAAAAGUAGGGAAUAUCAACCCAAAUUGUAAAGAAAAUCACUUCAUCAACUAAUGGGAGAAGAAAUAUCAGGUUUUGGAGGCAUUUCCAAGGAAUCCAUGUUGCCUUCUAGCAUAUCUAUCACUCUAGUCAUUGUAGGUCUAUCAUGUGGAAUUGUUUGAACACACCAUAAUCCCACUACAGUCAUUAUCCUUGCCAUUUCAUGUUCUUUUGUGGUUAUGACACCAUCAGGUCUUAAUUCUCCACCCUGCUUUAGCCUGUUGUAUGCCCAGUGUGGGAAGUAUAUCUCACUUGUGUGAUUGGCUUCUGCAUUAAUAAUUUUUCUCCCUCCCACCAUUUCUAACAACAUCAUUCUAUAACUAUAAACAUCAGAUUUGUGUGAAACUCUACCAAGAUGUCUAUUCCAUACUUCAGGAGCUUUAUACCCUAUUGUUCCUCUUUGAUCUGACAUGAAAAUAGUGCUCUCUUUCACGGGGCAAAGUUUUGCUAGUCCAAAAUCUGAUAUUUUGGGACAAAAAAAUUCAUCCAAAAGUAUGUUGUGUGGUUUUAUGUCAAAAUGUAAAAUGCAGAGUGUUGCAUCCUUUGUGCAAGUAUGCUAGUCCUUGAGCUAUCCCUUUGGCAAUUUGCCACAAAUUAUUCCAACUCAACGAUGGAAUGACUUUGAGUCCCUUAUUGUAAAUAAACUUAUCAAGAGAACCAUUAGACAUAAAUUCAUAAAUGAGAACUUUAUUGUUGCCUUCCAAACAGAAUCCAAGAAGUUGAACAACAUUAACAUGAGAAGUUUUACUAAUACUAGCAACUUCGUUGAUAAAGUUUUCACCAUUUCCUUUUUUUGCAUUCAAUUUCUUUAUGGCCACAGGGCAACCAUUCAAUGUCUCUCCUUUGUAUACAGCACCAAAACCACCUUCACCUAGUUUAACUUUGAAAGAGUUGGUCAUUUUCUUCACUUCUGAAAAUUUGUAUUUUUUAGAGUUUGAGCUCCAUGAUUUUUAAGGAAUGCUUCAAUAUUUCCAUUAAUUUUUGAAGUCAACCCAAGGUGUCUCUGCAAGAUUGGUGACUUGUAUCUUAGACAAAAAAUUGCUAUACAUAUCAACAUAAUUGCAACGGUUGCACCAGUAACACCUGUUAGCAGAUACAGUAUAAUAGGAGCAACAAUGAACAUUUGCUAUACUAGGAAGUUGUCAAUUCACUCUAACUACAUUUUUCUUUAUUGUUGACUUAAAUUUACUGUAAACUAAAUUUUUUUAAUUUAAAACUUAACACAACUUUUUGCUUCCCAAUAAAUUUAAACUUUCGCCAAUAUAAUGAGCAGCAAUGACUCCUUCAACAUGAUCAGAUCCUAAAGGUGCAUUUCAUCAUAAGUAUUAAAAGAGUCGAGAACAAUAUAAGAAGAAUUUAUUACCUAUAAUAAUGAAUUUCUCUUUUUUGUUCCCUUUUUUGCCUGCAACUACGACAGUACCUAGUGAGAGCAAAGAGUACGUUAGACACUUAAAGUGUUAAUGAAAAUCUUGUUAUUCAGAGAGAAGAAGAAAACGUUCUACUUUUCACAACCAUUUUUUGGAAGAGGAAUUGUAAAUACUGCAUGAUCAUAUUUCAGUAACUUAUAUUUUGUUGUAAAACCAUAUAUAUUGCAAAAAAAAAAAACAGAGUGUGUGCAAAAAAUGGAAAAUAGAGUGUGUGAGAAAACCCUAGUCAUUUUCGAUACCGUUGGAAGAGACCGUGAAAGUGCAGCUAAUACUGGAUCUCACUGGUGCAGAAACACACAACGAGUGCGAUUAUUUUGAAUAUAUAAAUGCGGCUAUAUAGCCGCAUUUGAUGAGCACGCACUUGUAAAUCGAAGAGAUACAAAUGCGGCUAUAUAGCCACAUUUAUAAAUAUCAUUUACAAGUGCGGCUAUUUCCUUUAGUCGCACUUGUAUAUGCUUCCGUAAAUAAAAAAAAUAAUAAAUAUGUUCAAAUGUAAUCCACAAUGUCCAAGUUUGACGCGUAUCGUUGCCCUCUACACCCAGGAUCAUAGUCGCACGUCCAGGGAAGAUUCACGCCCUUCACUCUCGUUGCGUUCCUUCUUUUCCGCAGUUUUCCUCACUCUUCCGGUGGUUGCUCCGUUUUCGGCGGCCAAUCAAUGGAACAUGUCACGAUUUCAGUUGUGAAGAUGCAACAGAUCUUUGGUUCUUCUUCCUAUAUAAAGAGGGGUUUUCGUUUUCAUUUUCACACAUCUCUCACUCACAUUCUCCAUCUUUCUCAACCCACCGCGGUGCACCUUUCUUCUUCCUCUCAACUUUUCACCUUUUUCUCUUUCUCUCUCUUCAUUUAUUAUUUAUUAGUUCUUACUCUCUCAAAGUAACUUACUAGUUUUGAUCCUUAAAAAUUCUGAAAAUAUCAUGUUGUAUCCUGAGAGACUUACACAACACAAUGCAGAUAAGUCAUUACAAACCGUGAUUGUUCAUGUCUCGAAAAAUUAUUGUGUACGUGUUUUAAUACUCACAUAGUACAUAUUUUUCUGCAUUACUUCAACCGAGCUUCGUAAAAUUUAUGACAGAGGAAGAAGCAUUUGAGUCUGCUUGAUAAUCUCAAAUAAAUUUCAACGUUAUUUUAAAAUAGUAUUGGAUUUAAACCUCGAAACAUGUUAUCAUAUUAUGCAGACUUCAAAUGCAUAAUCCUAGAUUAUAAAUAUAUUUUCAAACUAAAAUAUAAAGGUAAGCAUUAAAUCAAUAAUUGAGCACUUCUUUUUAACAGAAAAAUUCUAUAGUGGAGAGAAAGUGAGAGAGAACAGAACAUGUUCCUCAGUGUUUUUCAUGCAUAUUAAAUAUACCAAUAGAGAAAAGAAAAGAAAAAACUCAGAACGGAAACAAACAGCAUAUGAUGAAUAGCUGGAGUGAAAAAAUGGUUAUUGACAAGGUCAAAGGUGGACACUGGGUCUAACCAAAAAUGAAACAGCGUAGAGAAGAAACAACGUCAAAUACUUGUAGGGACCAUCACAGAAUCAAACGCAGAAAGACUUGGAAAAAUAUGCAGUCAACAACCCUAGCUUUUCUCAAUGUCAGGUAAACGUAACUGUCACACAAACCUCUCACAGAUUUGUAUAGUAAAUGUGUACAAAUAUAAAAUUGUUAAAAAUAUACAUAAAGUUAUUAAUAAUUAUUUUGACUUAUAUUCUCAAUUUAUAUAUUAGCUUCUGAAAGUGUUAAAAUUAUAACACUUGAUACACUAAUCUUUGGAAGUCAAUUUCAACAUAUCCAUUAAACAUGUCUUAAUGCAAUAACUUAAUCAAUCUUUGUUUGGUUAUCAUUCUUCUUCCACAUGUGAAACACAUCACAAACACCAACACAGUGUUCAUAGUGUCAAACCAGAGAUUUAAUUCAAAACUAGUCUUGUCUCCAAUUAACAGGUUCUCAUUAUGUGAAGAAAAAAAAUGUGGUGGACUUGCUUAUUAUCGAAAUGUCCAAGUGCAACUGCCGCCAAUAACAAUUACUUGCCCUUGGCCCCAUAUAAACCCUUGACCCAACUAUCUUAUUAAAUUGGAUGUGUCUCCCAUGGGGACAUUUGAAUGAAAAAGGUACGACUUUUAAGGUAGAGAGGUUAAGUUUUUUUGAGAAAAAUAAGAAGAAAAAACAAAAUUAUAAUCAGUUAAAAACAAGUUUUUGCAGAAGUUAUACGUAACCGAAUAAAUUAUAAAAGUAAAAACUUAAAAAAUGACAUGACUAAUGUUGCUUUGAUGCUUUGUAAUGAAUGCAAUAUUUGUUCAAAUAACUAAUGUUGCUUUGAUGCUUUGUAAUGAAUGAAAUAUUUGUCUGAACUACUGUAGAAAAAUCAAGUUUAGAAUUUCUUAUAUAUUUUGUGGGAAGAAUGCAUAUGCUGAUAAGCUUACUAACUUAUGUUUUAUUCAUAAAGAAUAUUUUUAUUGGUAUAAUAGGUUUUCUUCUAGUCUUUUCGUAAGUUUUUUAUUAAUUUGUAUAGAUUAACUAUGUACGGUUUUGUUAAUAUAUAGGUUUUGGUCUAAUCUUUCAUAUUUUCUUGUAUUUUUUUAAUAAUAUUUUUUUAUAUUAUUGUUACUUGAAAUAUCAGUCUACAUGAGAUGUCAAGUUUCAUAAUAAUGUCUAAUAUAAGAGUUUUUAUUAAAAAAAACUUAUAAAUUAAUUUGUAUACCUUAAUUUUAACUUAUAGACAAAAUUAAUUUUAUUUUUUUAUUUUUUUAGAAGUCUUGAUGAUGUGUUUGUCUAAAAUGUAUGUGAGAACUCUACAAAUUAACUUAUAUAUGGAAAAAUCAAAUUCAAUUUCUAUUUCUUUGUAUCGUUUUAGUUUGUUGAAUUGGAUGGAGGGUUAGAUUCAAAGACAUGGUUCAUCUUCAUUUCUUGCAUCAAAAUCUAUUGUUUAAAUGUAUGGUUAAAGAUUAUGAACAUGGCUAGUAAUAAGUGAGCAGAAUAUUCAAAAGUUGAGAGGCAAAGAGACAUACUAUUUGUAAUGGUUUUGGGAGAACAGUGCAUGCCAUGAGAUCCAUUGGUGCAAUAGUAGCAUGAAUUCACUGCAUGUUUCUUGAUACCAUCUCUCCAGCAACGCCCUUCCCUUCCCAAGCAUCUUGCGCAAGUUUCAGAAACAUUAUACUUCACCACAAACCCUUCAUUCAGUUUUUCUUCCAAAGCAAGAGCUCCACCAGAAAAAUCCAUUUGAGCAUCACUCCAUGUGUGUAAUCUUUGCUUGCACCUUUCAAGUUGUGGAUAAUCAAUGAACAACCUAUCAUAUUCCAGUGCAAAAUAAGUGAUAGCAUCUUCUCCGCACAUAAAGUGUCCAUAAUGGAAAUUUUUGAUGCGGGGACAGUAGUAGAAUAUGGUAAUCUUUUGCACUGAAGGAGAAUCCUGGAACAAACCAGUGUGGCUCUCAUUCACAUCCUCAGAUAGUGGAGAACAGAUAUUUGCAACAGUUUCUGCUGGCACCAGUUUCAUGGUGUGAGCAGUGGUGUUGAUCUCCUUCACUGUGAAGUUUUGUGAGGCAAUUCGAACUGAAGUAGUGUUAUUAUCAUUGCAGGUGAGUUUGAAAGGAUCGCCACUGCCACAUUCAGGAGAACGAUUGUGACCCCAGAAAGGAUAGAAGAUGUUGGAGAGAUUUCCACAGUUGUAAGACUGAUUCUUACAAACUGAAUAAUCAAAAGUGGGAGAUGAUUGAGAGUGAGAGUGUGGCAAAGUGAUUAACAAUAGCCAACACAUAUUGCAAAUAUGGAUAUGAUCAUCAUCAUCCAUUGUAUAGGUUUCUUUGCCAAACUGUUCAACUUCUUUUGACAGUGAAUCCAAAACAGAUUCUCCCUGUUACUUUUGGUUUAUAUGAUAAAUGGAUGUUGAAACGUGAAGACAAAUACACAUUUUAUAAUGUCCUUUUAGAACGAUCCUUGGAAAAUGAUGACCACUUAUGUUAUGGUCAAAUAAGUUAAGUUUGACACACGAAAUAGAAGAAUAUUUUUGACAUUUUAUAUGCCCUAUAAAGGUGUAGAAAGAAGCUAUGAGUCUGUAAAACGAAAUAGGCUCAUAGGAAAGAUAAAAUAAAUAUAUAUAUAUAUAUAUAUAUCCUCUACCAAAAUUUGUGAAAUUUCGUCUUACUUUCUGAAAUUUUAUUCUGGAUCCGUAUUGUGCUAAAAAAAUUCACACAAGUACUUUCAUAUGUUUUUUGCAUCCACGUAAGGAAACAUAUUCACAAACAAAUCACAAAAAGAAGAUAUCGGGCAGAAAAGCCAGGACAUUUUGUUUUCGGAAAACUAGUUUUGUUCACUCUCGGUCUGGGACUUACUCCGCCUUACUCCUUGGGUAUUUUGGUAUGAAAUUUUUACCACACGUUCUUAACUGUGCCUAUUGAAUUUUGGCUGAGAUUUGAGCCUAAGAUUCGUCCCACAAGAUUGACAAUAAAUUUUUAAUUCAUUACUGUCAGGGCUGAAAGGAAGGUUCGUUUGUGUGAAACUGUUUGAUUAUUUUUGUGGGCGAAUAUUCAUCUGUUUGACCUGAAAUUUAUUGCGUUAUGUCCCAAAUUCAGUGGAGAUUCUUAUGUGGAAUUUCAGGAAAAAACUAUUUCGGGAGAAUUUUUCAGAAAUUUUGUGCAAACCAAGGGUAUAAUAUCCUAUACCAAAACUUGUGAAAUUUCGCCCUACUUUCUGAAAUUUUAUUCUGGGUCCAAAUUGUGCUUAAAAAAUUCAUAUAAGUACUUUCAUAUGUUGUUUGCAUCCAGGUAAGGUGGCACGUUCAUAAACAAAUCACAAAAAGAAGAUACGGGUGAGAAAAGCAAUGACGUUUUGUUUUCGGAAAACCAGUUUUGUUUACUCUCGGUCUACGACUUACUACGCCUUAGUCCUUGAAUAUUUUACCAGACGUUCGUCAUUAUUUCUACUGCGUUUUGGCUUAGAUUUGAGCCCCAAAUUCGUCCCACAAGAUUAGAAAUAAAUUUUUUAUUUAUCACUGCCAAGGCUAAAAGGAAGGUUCGUUUGUGUGUGAAACUGUUUGAUUUUUUUCGUGGUGAAUACUCAUUCGUUUGACCUGAAAUUUGUCGCGUUUUGUCCCAAAUUCGGUGGAAAUUCUUACGUGAAAUUUCAGGAAGAAACUAUUUCGGGAUAAUAUUUCAGAAGUUUUGUGCAAACCAAGGCUAUCAUCCACAAAAACUUGUGAAGUUUCCCCGUACUUUCUGAAAUUUUAUUCUCGGUCCGAAUUGCACUGAAAAAAUUCACACAAGUACUUUCGUAUGUUGUUUACACCCAGGUAAGGAGGCACGUCCAUAAACAAAUCACAAAAAGAAGAUAUGGGGGAGAAAAGCCAGAACGUUUUCUUUUCAGAAAACCAAUUUUGUUCACUCUCGGUCUGAGACUUACUACUCAUUACUCCUUGAGUAUUUUGAUCUGAAAUUUUUACAAGACGUUCGUCACUGUCUCUACUGAGUUUUGGCUGACAUUUGAGCCCCAGAUUCGUCCCACAAAAUUGGCAAUAAAUUUUUUAUUCAUCACUGACAGGGUGAAAGGUAGGUUCGUUUGUGUGUGAAACUGUUUGAUUUUUUUCGUGGGCGAAUACUCAUCCGUUUAACUGAAAUUUGUCGCGUUUUGUCUCAAAUUCAGUGGAGAUUCUUACGUGAAAUUUCAAGAAAAAAUAUUUCGGGAGAAUUUUUCAGAAAUUUUGUGCAAAUCGAAGCUAUCAUCUACCAAAACUUGUAAAAUUUCGCCCUACUUUCUGAAAUUUUAUUCUGGCUUCGUAUUGCGUUAAAAAAAUUCACACAAGUACUUUCAUAUAUUGUUUACACCCAGGUAAGAAGGCACGUCCAUAAACAAAUCACAAAAAGAAGAUACGGGGGAGAAAAGCCAUAACGUUUUGUUUUCGGAAAACCAGUUUUUUUCACUCUCGGUCUGGAACUUACUACUCCUUACUCCUUGAGUAUUUUGAUCUGAAGUUUUUACCAAACGUUUGUCACUGUGUCUACUUAGUUUUGGCUGACAUUUAAGUCCCAGAUUCAUCCUACAAAAUUGGCAUUAAACUUUUUUUUCAUCACUGUGAGGGUGAAAGUUAGGUUCGUUUGUGUGUGAAAUUGUUUGAUUUUUUGUGUGGGCGAAUACUCAUCCGUUUGACCUGAAAGUUGUCUCGUUUUUUCCCAAAUUCAGUGGACAUCCUUACGUGAAAUUUCAGGAAAAAACUAUUUCGGUUAAAUUUCUCAGAAAUUUUGUGCAAACCAAGGCUAUUCUCAAACAAAACUUGUGAAAUUUUGUCCUACUUUCUUAAAUUUUAUUUUGGGUUCGUAUUGCGCUAGAAAAAUUCACACAAGUACUUUCACAUGUUUUUUUCACCAAGGUAAGGAAGCACGUCCAUAAACAAAUCACAAAAAGAAGAUACAAGGGAGAAAAGCUAAGACGUUCUGCUUUCGGAAAACAUGUUUUUGUCACUCUCGGUCUUGGACUUACUAUGCCUUACUCCUUGAGUACUCUGGUCUAAAAAUUUUUCAGACGUUCAUCACUGUGUCUACUGUGUUUUGCUGAGAUUUGAGCCUCAGAUUAGUCCCACAAGAUUGGAAAUAAAUUUUUUAUUCAUUACUACCAAGGCUGAAAAGAAUGUUUGUUUGUGUGUGAAACUGUUUGAUUUUUUUUGUUGGCGAAUACUCAUCCGUUUUGACCUGAAAUUUGUCGCGUUUUGUCCCAAAUUAAGUGGAGAUUCUUACGUAGAAUUUCAUGACAAAAAUUAAUUCGGGAGAAUUUUUCUUAAAUUUUUCGCAAACCAAGGCUAUCAUCUACCAAACCUUGUGAAAUUUCACCCUACUUUCUGAAAUUUUAUUUUGGGUCUGUAUUGCGUUGAAAAAAUUUACACAAGUACUUUCAUAUGUUGUUUGCACCCAGGUAAGGAGGCACGUCCAUAAAAAAAAUCACAAAAAGAAGAUACGGGGGAGAAAAGCCAGGACGUUUUGUUUUCGGAAAACAAGUUUUGUGCACUCUCGGUCUGGGACUUACUACACCUUACUCCUUGGGUAUUUUGGUCUGAAAUUUUUACCAGACGUUCGUCACUGUCUCUACUGAGUUUUGGCUGAGUUUUGAGCCUCAGAUUCGUCCAACAAGAUUGGCAAUAAAUUUUUUAUUCAUCACUGUAAGGGUUGAAAGGAAGGUUUGUUUGUGUGUGAACUUGUUUGAAUUUUUUCAUGGCCAAAUACUUAUCCGUUUGGCCUGAAAUUUGUCACGUUUUGUCCCAAAUUCAGAUGAUAUUCUUAUGUGAAAUUUUAGGGAAAAACUAUUUUGGUAAAAAAUUUCAGAAAUUUUGUGCAAAUCAAGGCUAUAUCCUCUACCCAAAUUUGUGAAAUUUCGUCCUACUUUCUGAAAUUUUAUUCUGGGUCCGUUUUGCGCUGAAAAGAUUCACACAACUGCUUUCAUAUGUUGUUUGCACCCAGGUAAGGAGGGACGUCCAUAAACAAAUCACAAAUGGAAGAUACGGGGGAGAAAAGCCAGGACGUUUUGUUUUCAGAAAACUAGAUUUAUUCACUCUCGGUCUGGGAUUUACUACACCUUACUCCAUGGGUAUUUUGGUCUGAACUUUUUACCACACAUUCGUCACUAUGUCUACUGAGUUUUGGCUGAGAUUUCAGACCCAAAUUCGUCCCACAAGAUUGGCAAUAAAUUUUUUAUUCAUCACUCUCAGGGCUAAAAGGAAGGUUCGGUUGUGUGUGAAACUAUAUGAUUUUUUUGGUGGGCGAAUACUCAUUCGUUUGACCUGAAAUUUGUCUCUUUUUGUCCCAAAUUCAGUGGAUAUUCUUACAUGAAAUUUCAGGAAAAAACUAUUUCGGGAAAAUUUUUCAGAAAUUUUGUGCAAAUCAAGGUUAUCUUCUACUAAAACUUGUUAAAUUUCACCCUAUAUUCCGAAAUUUUAUUCUGGGUCCGUAUUGCGCUGAAAAAAUUUACACAGGUAUUUUCAUAUGUUGUUUGCACCCAGGUAAGGAGGUACGUCCAUAAACAAAUUACAAAAAGAAGAUACGGGGGAGAAAAGCCAGGACGUUUUGUUUUCGAAAAACCAGUUUUGUGCACUCUCGGUCUGGGACUUACUACACCUUACUCCUUGGGUAUUUUGGUGUGAUAUUUUUACCACAUGUUCGUCAGUGUGUCUACUGAGUUUUAGCUGAGAUUUGAGUCCUAGAUUCGUCCCACAAGAUUGACAAUAAUUUUUUUAUUCAUCAUUGUCAUGGCUAUAAGGAAGGUUCGUUUGUGUGUGAAACUGUUUGAUUUUUUUCGUGAGCGAAUACUCAUCUGUUUGACUUGAAAUUUGUCGCGUUUUGUCUCAAAUUCAAUGGAUUUCUUACAUGGAAUUUCAAGAAAAAAGUAUUUUUGGGAGAAUUUUUUAGAAAUUUUGUGCAAACCAAGGCUAUCCUCUACCAAAACAUGUGAAAUUUCGCUCUACUUUCUGAAAUUUGAUUAUGGAUUCAUAUUCUGCUGAAAAAAUUCACACAAGUACUUUCAUAUGUUGUUUGCACCCAGGUAAGGAGGCACAUCACAAAAAGAAGAUACGGGAGAAAAAAGUCAUGACGUUUUUUUUUUCGAAAACCAGUUUUGUGCACUCUCGGUCUGAAACUUACUACGCCUUACUCGUUGGGUAUUUUGGUUUGAAAUUUUUACCACACGUUCGUCACUGUGUCUACUGAGUUUUGGCUGAGAUUUGAGUCCCUGAUUCGUCCCAUAUACAUAUAUAUAUAUAUAUAUAUAUAUAUAUAUAUCAUUCUACACCCCAUGGUUUGAAGUUGUACGCCAUAGAGGUGGUUAAAUGUCAGAAAUACCCCCAGUUUAGAUUUAUAAAACAACUCUAUUUUGGAUUACACCAUUUAAGAUAUAUUUUGAGAUUUUUAUAUUCAUUCUGAAAUGCUGAACUGUAUACUUCGAAAUGCACGUUCAAAAUUGUAUUUUUAUAUUAGAAAAUACAUUAUAUAAUACAUUAAUACAUUUUAGAAUAUAUAAUCUAAAAUAUAUUAAUACAUUAUAAAUUUAUAUUUUGAAAAUGUAUUUCUAAGAAAUAUGUAUUUUAUAAUUUAUUUCUAGAAAAUGCAUAUUCUGGAAUGUAUUUCUAGAAAAUGCAUAUUCUAGAUUGUAUUCCUAAAAAAUAAAUAUUCUGAAACGUAUUUUAAAAAAAUGUAUAUUUUAGAAUGUAUUUUCAAAUCUAUGAAUACAUUCCAAAAUAUACAAUCUAAAAUAUAUUAAUACAUUCUAUAAUGUGUAAUUUAAAAUAUAUUAAUAUAUAUUUUAAAAUGUAUCUCUAGAUUCAUGUUAUAAUAUAUAUUCUAAAAUGUGUGAUUUAUAGAAUAUUAAUACAUUCUAGAAUUAACAAUAUGAAAAACAUAUUUUUGAAAUAUAAUAUUGAAAAUUUAAUUUUCUUGGAGAUGCACCAUCAAUAUAUGGGGGUGCAGAAUGAAAUUGCGAGGUUUUGAACCAUGUAAAUGUUUGGACCCUAAAUGUUGAACACUUCUCUAUUUUGUGGGCCGCUGGGCCGCACAGUGAUUAUUUGGUUUCUUCUUGCAGUGGAAUCGAGGCACGUGAUUAACAACAAUAAGAGAAAAAGAGUUUAAUAUUAUUCAGACUUUUCCAAGUAUGCUAAAUCUGAAAAAAAAAAUGAAAUAUCUAAUUAUCUUUGAUUUAUAUUUUGGUGAACUUUACAAAACAAAUUGUUCAUCUCAUCUUUCUCCUUUAACCUAUCGUUUUCUAAGGACAAAAUUGUAAUAAAUUUCAAAAAUUUAAAAACAGACAAUAUUUUAAAUAUGAUAAUUGAUCAUAAUGAUAUUAUCUCUUCAUACUUAAUUUUAAUAAAAAAUAAAUAAUUCAAUAAAAUAAAAACUAACACAUUUUAAAAAAUCUUAUAUAGUAUGACUUCACUUUUUCAAUACUUCUAAACUUGACUUUAAAAAAUCUUAUAUAGUAUGACUUCACUUUUUCAAUACUUCUAAACUUAGACUUUAAAUUGAAGCUAUAGUGAACUCCAUAUAACUUUAAUAAGAAAAAAUUAUAUGAAAGUCGUUUUACAUUAAUAUUAUAUUUUGAUUAAGCAGUUGAAUAUAAUUAACUAAUUUAACCUUUAAAUGAUGUUGUGAUAUAAUAAGAUGACUUCAAUCUAAAAGGAAUAUAAAUAGGUAUAUGACAAUAAAGAUUUUUCUUUAUUUAUGUGUAUUUUAUUUACAAUGAAGUCAUCAUAUCCUAUAACGAUUUGAAUUCAUUAAUUUUUGUUUGUAUUAAAUUAUGAUAUAACUUUUUUCUUAAAAUAAAAAGACUUUAUGUACUAAAUUUUCAAUUAUUUUAAUUUCUCUGUUGACAUUAACUUAAGAUUUUGUUUCGUAGAGAUUUAUUUUAUGUAUAUAAUUUCAAAUUUCAGUUUUAAUUCAUUUUUACUAAACUUUUCUUUAACAACAUCAAUCAAAAUCACCUAAAAAAGUCAUUAAUAUGAAUAUUUUUAAAUUAUUAAUUAUAUUUGGUAAUUUAAAUAACUUAUAUAAAUGAGAUGGUUAAAUUUCAAUAAAUUUAAAUUGUCUUACAUAAACAAAAUUUAAAAAAAUAAAAUUAAUUCAAAUUAAGUUUUUUUCAAAUAUCUUAAAAAUGAUAAAAUUCUUCAUCCACACAAAAAUACAAAAGGUAAAAAAGAAAUAAUCUGAAGCAAAUUUUGAACUUUUCUUUCCUUGGAACUACCAUUGGAAAUGCUUUAAAAAUUUCUCUUCAAAUCAUUUUAUUACAGUGCUCUAGAAACAGGAAGAUAUUAAUUUUCAAUGGAGAAUUUUCUUAAUGUUUUGUUCUAUGGUGCAAUGCAUAAUGCCUAAACAUUCGUUUUCAAAGUGGUAACGUCAUUCGUUUUCAAAGUAAGAAAUUGUUUAAGUUUCCAAACCAAAAUAUACCAAUCAAUCAAUAAGGAAAAGUUUUCAUUUGACACUACUAUUUAUCUACUGCAAUUGUUUUUAUAAUAAAAUAUUCUUAUAAUAAUAAAAAUAAAAUUAUGAAGUUGUAAUGUAAGAGAAAAAAUGGAGUUUCAAAGUAUCAUUACUGAAUAUUUCUACAUCUAACUUUUUUUCUAAAUAUUAUUAUAUUAUUAUAAUAGGUGGUCAAGUUGUUUAUUUAUUUAUUUUGUCUAAUUAAUAAUUUUCAAAAUAUAUAUAACAAAAAAUAAUUUUUCAAUUGAAUGAUACAAAAUUUAUUAAAAUAAUAAGUAUGUUGAUUACAAAGUGGAGGUAGAAAAAUCUUCUCCAUAGCUUAAUUGAAAGUUUGAUCUUGGAUUAUCUCCAAAGUUCUUUCAUUGUUUUUUUUUUCAGUGUCUUGAUCCUUGGUAUGUAUAUUUUCGAUUAAAAAUAAGUAAUUUGUUUUAGAUGAUUGAUCAUAUAUUUCACUACAAGAAAACCAUGAAAUAGAAACCAAUUUUUAGAAACAAAAAUAAUUAGUUGUAAUAGUAACUAAACUAGAGACCAUUUUAGAAACUCAAAAAAAAUGGUUUCUAAAUUAGUUUCUAUUAUUUUCUAUUAUUGUUAAAUAGUUUUUAAAUUGGUAUCUAAUUAGCAACCAAGGUUUUAGAAACCAAAUUUAGAAACUAAAUAAUUGGUAGUUAAAACUUGGUUGCUAAUUAGAAACUAAUUUAGAAACUAUUUAACAAUAAUAGAAACUAAUCUAGAAACCAAUUUUUUAUUUAGUUUCUAAAAUGGUCUCUAACUUAGUUACUAUUUUAACUAAUUAUUUUGAUUUCUAAAAAUUGGUUUCUAUAUCAUGAUUUUGAUUUUCUUGUAUUGUUUGUUUUGGUGUUUGUGAGAGAAUGUCUUAUUUGUUUAUAUUGAAUUGAACUUUAGGUGUUCAAUAUGUAUAAGAAUUGAAUCAUUCCUUAAAUGAUCCAUAUUUAUUUAUUUUUUCUUAUUGAUAAAAAAAUUAAAAAAAUAUCAAAAUAUUACCAUUAUGUAUAAAUAGUUGUACCACGUUGUUAGCAAUACAAUCAGUUCCAGCUUUCCUUUCUCAAUAGCUCUUAUAGUUCAUCAGAAUUGGUUCCCAGAAAAACUUCUCUAGAUCAAUUUCUUUUAUUAUCCAACGAAUCUGAAAGGCUUGAAGUUGAAAAAGAAAAGAAAAGGAACGCAUCCAAACCAAAACCAAACAAGGUAUAUUACGUGCACUAUAGAUAUUAUUUUACAACACAUCUUCUUCUUUGUGAUAGCUCACAUUUGGUAUUAGAGAAACACAAUGCCUAUUUAAGCCAGAUUUUGAUUCCUCCACAUAUUUUUUUUUAUCAGCAAUAUUGAUUCCUCCACAUUGCUUAUGCUAUUGUAUAUAGAAUAUAUAUACAUAUGCAGCAGAAACUAAACAUACUUUACUACUAAUUCUAUUUAGACCUUUUUUUUUUUGCAUGGACACAUCAUUCAGGAUCAUCACUUACAAAGUUUCGUGGAUUGCAGAAAUAUCUUAUACAUAUUUGUAAGUAGGGUAUGUGCUGCAACUUUUGAUGCACCUAGUUGUGCCUUGUUGUGGCUCCAUCAACAUCCACAGAGCUAGAACCUGAAGCGGUCAUGUCUCCAUCUGUCUGUGUUGCUGAGAAACUAAAAGGAAACUCAUUACCAAACGCUUCUGUGCUGUAGGGUUGAUUCAGUGACCACUCGCAUCCCAUUUGUGUGUUGUUAUUUGCAACAUAGCUGCCAGAUUUCUCACUGUAAUAAUGAUUCUGAUCAUAUGUCACUACUGAUGCAGAAGGUUGAUCACCUGCAGUUAUUAAUUAUGUUCACAUAAAUGUCUUACUCAUGUUCUUUCAUAAGAACUGGGUUCUUACUAUUAAAAAAAAACAUUCAUCUGUCAAAAAUAUCCAAACAAUAUAAAGAAUAGGGUUUAUUGCCUGUGGAACCUUUUUUAAGUUCUUCAAUUAAAAAUCUAAAAAUUCGUAAAUAAAUAAAUGUUCUAUAAGAUAUUUUUAAGAAGUAAAGUUUAAACCUAAUUCAAUCUUACAAAAACUGAUUUAUAAGAUAAGAAUUACACCCACUUAUAUAUUAUGAUAUAUAGUAAUCACUAGCUGAUGUGAAAUUUUCAACAACACACUCUUUCACAUCAAGACGGUGAACUUUUGUGUGUAACUAUAUAUUAUGGGUGUCCGAUAGCGGGUGACCUAAUAUACACCUAACAAAACAAAUUUUCGCUAUGAUAGACUCAAAAUAACUAUAAUAUCAUAUUAAGAAAUGAAUUUAAGUAUAACUCGACCUUAUAAAACUGGCUUAUAAAAUAAGGUUCGCAGUUACUUAUACAUAGCAUUUAUCUAAUUAUAUAUAAUUCAGCAUAGGUUAAAAGGAAGAUACCUUGGAUUAAAACAGCAAUGUUAUCGUUCAGAACCCCAUCUAUCUCCUCCAAGUUAGGCCAUUUUGCAUAUGCUUCUCUCACCAAUUUGUCUAUGUAAGCCUGCAUGUGUCAAAAAAUUUAACAUAAGGGUGUAAUCCAGAUAUAAAUCAAGGGGACAAAUUGUGUCCAAGAUAGCAGAUGAUUCAUCAUGGUACCUUGUUCAAAUGGGGAAUUUGAUCUCUGUUUGAAAAUGUCUGUCCAUUGACCUCUGCUCUAACUAAUUUGCAAAUUGGAUCCAGAAAAAUAGUAAAGUGUGGUCCAUGAUAAAUGUACAACUUGCUCCCCAUCUCACAACUCAUUGCAUGUUUGAUUGCCACUUCCCACAUUUUGUCUGACAUCGACACGCCCAAAAUCUGGUUGCAGAAACAUUUAAUUAACAAAAUAUCAUUAAUUUCAUAUAGUUACUUCAAUAAUGAAAAAUCUCCUUGACUAUUAUGAUGCAAAGAUAGAUACAUUUCUUAGCUUAAGAACAUCAACAACUGCUAGUUUAAGAAAUUCUUGGACUGUUUUUAUGCCCUCAGAAGACAACUUUUUGUGGUAAGGUCCAUCUUUACCGAUCUUUUCCAGGCGCCACACUUCGUCAUGAAGCAUUGGAGGGUAGCGUUUUCUGUACACUUCAAAAGUGUAAAAAUGAAGUUAAUCACAACCAAGAGACAAAUUUUUUUACUGUUUAUAAAAUAUAAUUUUUUUAUCUAACAAUAAUAGAUCAUGAUGAAUUAACUCUUAUAUAAUUCAUCAACAACAAAUAUAGUUAGUCAACAAAAUCCUGACUAAACUACUCUAAUACCAACCAAAUUACUAGAAAAUAAGAAUCUCAAAAACCAGAGAACACGGCAAGGAUCGAAUUUAGACAAAUUAUAAAUUCAAAACACCAAUUUAAAUAAGAAAAACAAACGAAGAUGAUAAACUUCUUUCAGUGGCAGAAGUUUAUGGAGAUUAGCUUAGGUUAAACUAAUACUAAUACAAGAUUAUCCCUGAUGAAACCCCAAGAAAGACCCCACUUAAGAAAUUAACCACCAGGCUUGUUUCUUGAUUGGUUUCUCUUAAAGUUGAAACCAUUGACUUGAGAUUCAUUUAUGACCACGAUUUGAAAAUUAGAAAGUAGAACCAAAAGAUAUUAUACGUAACAAUUAUUUUGAAAUCAAUAACGUGCUCUUGAUUUCACACCAAUGGUGGGACCCCUUGAGAAUCUGACAACUAUUAGAUGUUGGAUGCUGCAGAAGGUUUUUGGCUUUCUAUUUGACUAACUGUCACUUUUCGGUUGUCACAAAAGAACAUCCAGACAAAACAGAAGAAACAUAAGUACUGGAUUGACCAUAACUUGAUAACAUGUUACUACAAAUUUUAUAUUUCGUUUAUUUAUAAAAAUGCAAAGAAUGGUUAAUAUCAGUUAUAUGUGGUAAUGGAAUUUAUGGUAUAAAACAAAUUUUCUUUGUGAUAAUAUAAGAUCUGUCAAAGUCAGCUAUGUCAUCUUUUUAAGGCACAUGCAUGGACUAGAAUUUUUUGAUUCUUCUGAUAAUCAAGGCAACAGCGAUUGAAUAAAGAGACUUUUCCUUUAGAUAUAGACUUUCCUUUGAGACUAAUAGUUAUUAACAACCCAUGAGUCGAAGAAAAGAAGAAGAAUAUUGCAGAAUAAUUAUUAUAACACCAACUAACUAGCAAUAGCAGUUAUUGCUAGCUAAUAUGAACUACUAAUAUAUUAAAGUGAAACAAACGGUCAAAGCUUAUCAAGCACCAAAUAGGUUGGUUAAAAUUAUUGUGAGUUCGACAAGAACAUUUGGUAAAAUCAACUAAAGUACUUCGUCAUCAUGUUCACACAAACAACAAUCAUACAAAAUAAAACGUCACCAAGUUGGUUACAAUGACAAAUAAUGCAAAGUGGUAAAUAAUUAAAGACAAGGUUUUGAAAGAAAUUGUUGACACUCGUUAAUUUUGAUGUAUCUUAAUCUCUCAUCAAUUAAUUCUUCUUUUAAUUGGCAAGCAAAUUAAUUUUCAGGGUACAAAGAGUACACACAAAUGAAGUUGCAAUUCAUAACUAUACAUGAGGAGGAAAUUGUGGGAAGCACCAAAGAUAGGUGGUAACUUUGGAUAAAAGGAAGAUGUGAUUGACAAAACUUUCAUCACACCUAUAGAAUGAGUAGUAAGUAAUAGUCUUGUUCUUAAUUAGCACAUUCUAGUAGAAAAAUAACUUGGAAUAUGGUUGUGUAGAUCAUGGUUGAACUACCACUGAGUAAUAAAAAACAGUAUAUUAACAAAACAAAAAAAUAUGAAUAGUGUAACUUACAUUCUCCACGGUGAUCCUUGACAACAAAUGCUUCAGUCAUUCCUUCACGAAUCCGAACUCCUUGAGUACUUCCUGGUGCUACUCUCACUGCAACUCUGAACUUUCUGCAGCGAAUCCAGCUAGAGUUAUCUGUGAAUUCCAUGUCCCCAGUUGGUGCAAUUCCAUCUCGCAUGAUCAAGUUCAAUUCUCCUGCAAGUAAAGGUCUCUUCCCCGGUCUCUCUUUCAAUAUGUGUCUGUUAAAUUCAUCACUCGUCCAACCCUCGUUUUCAGAAGGAGUAAAAUCUCCAUCAAGAGCCACAAUCUCUAGCUUGAUGGCAUGUGGGAGACUUGUGGGUACCAUUUGGUUAUUGUUGCUUUUUUCCAUCAGAACUAUGCUCAUGGGGUUCUCUUCAAAGUCAAGAAUCCUGCUACUUGUGAAAAUUGGAAGGAAAAGCCUCUUGCUGAACCCUAGUUGCAAGCUUGAUGGCUGCUCCAUUGCUCGAAGUCUCAAUGAAGGAGACCUAUGGGAGAGUGACCACCGUCUCAAACCUCCCUCAAGUUCCUCACUCACCUGAUAAAAUAGUGAUAAAAUUUAGUAACAAAAAAUUUCAUAGUCAAUUAGAUAACAAGAAACGAACUUCUUAAAAACCUACCACUCUUCUAAGCACAGGUUCCAAGGCAGUGAAAAGAUGCUCCAAGUUAUUUACCAUGACCACAUCUCCAAUUACACUGUCCAAAAAUAGAUGAAUGAGAAGAGUGAAAAGUUAAGUUGAGACACAAGACAUAUAACAUAGUGAAGUAAGCAUUAUAAAGGGAUCAAACAAAGUAGAGAAAAGAGGAAGUAGAUUGAAGCAUGAUGAGAUAAACCCUAGCGCUAUAUGAAGUGCAUAAAAAGUACAUACGAAGCAAAAGACGGUCUAGCAGUGUUAUUUCUCAUCCGUUUGUCGUCUGGCUUAUCAUCAGGGUCUCGUUGAGAAUCAUUGAACAAUCUUUUCGCCGCCAUUUUCGGUGAAGAAUCUGAUGAGAGUGAAACUGUUUGGUGUGUUUGAGGUUAAUUGAAGUGAUGAAGCAGGAGGGGGGGGAGCAAAAGAAAGGGGUUCGUUCGCAUUUUAUAGCUCUUCAUACACAUAUUGCGUGUUGUUAUUAUUAUAAGAAUAAACACUACAGCGAAGGUUCAUGGAAUAUUGGAGGAAAUAGCGUAGCACUUAGCCCGAUCAUAACGUUGUGUACAAUGGUGCGUACGAAUGAUGCAACCACUUGGGAGUCAAGAUUUCAAGAAUCGAAGGGCCAUUAAAAGUCUACCAAUCACUUUCACUUCUCUCCAAAGCUAAAUCACCAUGGACCUUCUCUAUUUAAGGAAUACAAAGGUAUUAGAAAAAAAUAUUGAAGACGUGGCAUUCUUCAUUUGGUUAGUACACUAAUUUGUAUCAUUAAACUACUCUUUAAACAUACUGUAAACAUAAUUAAAAUUACUUUGUAUAUAAACUAAAAUUUUGAUUUUUUAAACAAAAUUAUAAAAGUUAAUCUAUAUAUACUAUGAUUUAAAUAUAUAAAAAGUUAUUUUUUUUUUCUUAAAAUGAUUUAUAAAGAGAAAUUAUGGGUUAUGUGACAACAUCAAGAAAUGCUACAAGGAUUUCAAGGAAAAGGGUGGAAAACUUAUAAAUAAUAAUUAAUUAAAAUCAUAUGUCUAUAACGUUCAAAUCUCAGAAUUCUAAAUAUGUGAAUUUUAAGUGUGAUUAAAUUUACAAAACUUUCCUCAGACUUAGAGUUUUUAACUCGGUUUUAGAUUAUGUUAUGGAUGGUUUGACAGGAUUUUGAAGGCGAAUGAUCUUAUAAGUUCAAUAAAUUUUUGUUAUAAUAAAUUUUUACUACUAUAAAGAUUUUCUUGAAAUAUAAAUUAAUUUUAGAGAAAAAAAAUAAUUAAUUGACUAAAUUAGAGAUCAUUUUAGGGACUAAAUAAAUUUUUGGUUUCUAAAUUAGUUUCUAUUAUUGUUAAAUGGUUUAUAAAUUGUUAUCUAACUAAAAAUCAAGGUUUUUGCUAUCAAAUUUAGAAUCUAAAUAAUGAGUAGUUAACUUUGAUUAUUAAUUAGAUAUCAAUUUAUAAACCAUUUAAUAAUAAUAUAAACUAAUUUAGAAACCAAUUAUUUUUUAGUUUCUAAAAUGAUUUUCAAUUUAGUUAUUAUUGCAACUAAUUAUUUUAGUAUCUAAAAAUUGAUUUCUAGUUAAUGAUUUUCUUGUAGUGUCAUAAAUAACUUUGAUAUCAUCUUAAGAAAUUAAUCUCAACCUUACAAAAUCAGUUUAUAAAAUAAAAUUUACAUUCACUUACUGUGAUAUUUCACAAGAACUUUUAAUCAGAGUUCAAAUAAGUACCCUUUGUAGCAAAAACUACAAUUAAUUCAUCAUUUAUAUUGAAUUCUGUUUUUUUUUUUCCUAUAAUUUGCUUUCUUGUUGUGUUUGGCUUCUGUUUUGAUCUCAAGGGUGAGUGCUGUUACAGGACAUUUUCUGGGAAGGAUCGACGAUGUGGAUGCGUGUUGUGGGUGUACCGCGUUCUCUGAGGAAACUGAUUACAAAGAAACUGUCUGGUAAUUACAUGAACCGCAGCAAAAAGACAAAAAUUAUUAUUCUCACACUCUGUUUUAUUUGAAGACAAAAUUUAACUUUCUUCUGAAUGGACCAGAGUCCUGUACGGUUUCAACUUCCACACAAGUGUUUCAAUGGUUAACUCCAUUUAAGCUGCGUUCUUCUUUCUAGCUUUUAAUCAUGGCAGGCACACACAUCAUUGGAACAUCAUUUUUUUUAUGUCAAGUUUUAUAAUUCAUACUCAACUCACCAUAUUCAAUAAUUAUUUCAACUUAGUUUAAUUAAAAAGCUUGUUUUUUUUCAUAAAGCAAGUAUAAUUAUGUGUAACAUAGGUACAAAGAUACCUAACUCUUAUAUAGAAAUGUAAAGUUCACUAUUUUAAUGAGCACAUAUUAAAAUAUAAAGGAGAAACAAAAUCCUUUUAACUUUUAUUGGUAAUCACACUUUAGAUUUAAAUUUAAUGAUUUCUGUACUAUAAAGAAAUUUAACUCAUUGUUGACUAAAAAUAAUAUUAUUCUUAUGUGAUCAAAUAGAUUAUAUAGUUGCAAACCAUCAAAAAACUUAUUCAACAAAGACAAGUGAAAGAUGUAUAGGUAUUUUUGUUGUACUUGUUAUUUAUUUAUUUUUCAUUGUGUGCAGCUUAAUCUUGAUGAGGGAUGUUUGUUUUUGUUUAUUGUUUAGGAGAUUUUCAUUUAUUGAUGGUAUAGCACUACAAGAAAAUCAUGAAAUAAAAACUAAUUUUUAGAGAUCAAAAAAAUUAGUUGCAAUAGUAACUAAAUUAGAGAUCAUUUUAGAAACUAAUAAAAAUUUUGGUUUCUAAAUUAGUUUCUAUUAUUGUUAAAUAGUUUCUAAAAUGGUAUCUAAUUUAGUUACUAUUGUAACUAAUUAUUUUGGUAUCUAAAAAUUGGUUUCUAUUUCAUGAUUUUCUUGUAGUGUAGUUGGGAAUUGAGUUUUGAAGGGCACGGACACCAAUUGUUUUAGUGUUAAUAAUUAAUAAAUAUUCUCAAUUCAAAUUAUUUUUAUAAAUAAAAUAAUAGAUUAAUUUGUUUAUUCUUAUAAAAAAAAUGCAUAAUUGUUAAUUUGGAAUUAAUAAAUUACCUUCCUUACUAAUGGUUACAAAAUUUAACUCCCCUACACAAAAUGAAAGACUUGGACAACGUAUAUUUCAAGGUAUGUUGCAUUGUGAGAAUAUUAUGUAUUCCCGUGAAUAUUUGGUUGGUAAUUUAUCAACUUUAAAGAGAUAUUGAAGUGGAAUUUUUUGGUUUUUUUUGGAAAGUAUUUGUAUGUUCCAUACUAACACUUAGGCAUAGCAAUGAAAGUGAUGUGUGUUUUAUUAUCCACAUCCUCAUUUCAAAAGUAAAUGUUUAUGUGAAUGAAUAUGAAAUUUUUUAUAUCAAUAAAUAAUAAAUAUACUCAUAUCCACUCUUUACAAUUUUAAAUAUUAUCACUUGAAGUCAUAUUAUAAGAGGAAGAGUGGUAUGUGAAAAAAUGGAGAAUAAUCACUUAAAGUAAACUCAUACUCUUUAAAUAAGGUAUGAUACACUAUAAAAAAAAUUAUAAAAUAAAAAUUAAUUCUAAAGACAAAAUAUAUUAGUUGUUAUAGUGACUAAAUUAGAGACAAUUUUAGAGAAAAAAAAAUUAGUUUUCAUUAUUGUUAAAUAGUUUCUAAAUUGGUGGUACCUAAUUAACUAUUAAGGUUUUAAUUACCAAUUAUUUAGAUUCUAAAUUUGGUAGCAAAAAUCUUGGUAGCUAAUUAGAUACCAAUUUAAAAAAAUCAUUUAAUAAUAAUAUAAAUUAAUUUAGAAACCAAAUUUUUGUUUAGUUUCUAAAAUAUAUCUAAUUUAGUCAGUAUAGUAACUAAUUAUUUUUUUUUCCAAAAUUGAUUUCUAUUUGAUGAUUUAUUUUUUUUGUAAUAAUAUUAUAGAUAGGAAAAAAAAGUAAUUAAUAAAAAAACUCUAUUAAAAUAGUCCACCAUAUUUUUCAGUGAAAAUUGUUAUCUAACAAAAUGGAUUAAAAACAUUGAAUUGUAAAAGUUCAUUUAUUUGUUUUUGGGAAUAGGAAGCUUCGUGGCUCCUUCCUUCUUCCUACGUCCAUGUCUCUCAUGAGCUUGGACUUCCCAAUCAAAUCUAGUGGAAUAAGAAAGUUGCCGGCCAUUAAAAUUUGUCAAAACAGCAUGCAAAUGUGAUAGAACAGACAGAUUAUAGGUACAAGUGUCCUUCAAUUUGACUAGAAAAAAACACGCACACAAAACUUAAUUAAUUCCAUUUCUAAAUUCUAGGGUAAUUACUCGAUGAUAAACACGUUUUCUGUUAGUGUUACCUCUACUUUUAGGUCCAUAAAUGCCCUAAGAGGUUUCCCAGAAAAUAUGAAGCAACAUGGUGUGGAAGAAUUUGCAGCAUAAUGACCAUUGAUGUUGAUGUGUUACAAAUUGCUCUGAGGAAUUUGAAGAUGCUUUCAAGUACUUUCGUCGUAACGUUGUAGAACUUUUGUGGCCUAUAAAACAUUGUCAAACUAUGCAUUAAUCUAUGUCUUUUAGUCUUUGAGUUUGGACUUGUUGAAUAUGUUGUAAUAAACCUACCUCUGUAACGCGGCAUGGUUAAUUUUCUUAUGUGUUGUGUGAAUUGCUGAUUAAUAAUUAAUGUAAGAAUAAUUUCAUUGUAAACCUUGAUUAAAUUAUUAAACUCUUUAGGGGUUGACCAUUUGUGGAACCAUGUAUAAUUAACUGAGGGUUUGACCAUUUAUUAAACUUUGAUUAAUUUGUCAAAUCAAUUAUGUGUGUGAACUAGAAUUGAUCAAAUUUGAUCAUUGGUAUAAGUUUGAUUGUAAACAUGUUCAAACUCCAUUUAACUUUAAUUUUAUAAACUUUGCUCUCAAGUUACUUCUUAUUAAAACUUGUAGUUCGAUUUCUACGUUUUUGUUGGUUUAAUUUUUAACUAUAAGGAUUUAAUGUGUUUUUAGUUUGGCGAGUGAGAUUUGAUUUUAAUCUCAGUAAAAAAGUUUAUUUUAAUCUCUCUAAAAUGAAAAAAAAAAAAAAUUAUCAAUUUUAGUCUUUAUGGUAUUGUGUUACACUAAUUUAAUUACUUAUUUAUGUUGAAAAAAAGAGUAAAAGAUUAUUUAUUUUUAAUGCGAAAUAUUAAUAUUGUAAUAUAACGUUGACAUGUGACACCUGAAGUUCUUAAAAUUUGUAUAAUUUAUUAUCUAUCUUAAAAGAAAUAUUAAGAACUAAAAAUAGUCAUCUAACAAUCUUUAGAGAUCAAAAUCAAAGAAAAAUAUUAUAAAAAAAGUUCAUGCCUUUUAUUACAAGGGCUAAACAAUUAUUUCAAAAGCAACAUAAGUAAAAUCAAAACUUAAUGAAUUUUAUAAAGAUUCAAAAUUCAAAAUAUAUUUAAGCCUGAUAUAAAUCAUCAUAAGAAUAAAAUAAAAUAAAAUCAUAUUUAUAAAAUACAAUCACCUUCUAUUAAUUUAUUUUUAAUAAUUACACUAAUUUAAUAAUUUUAAAAGAAAAUCAAUAAUAAGAAAAGCUAGAUUAGGGUAUUUAGUAAAUAAACAAAGUAAAAAGUUUGAAGAUUAUAAAAAAGAGCUUAAAAAAAGUUAGAGUACUAAUAAAACUUGAAAGUUGAAUAUAUAUAACUAUAGAGAUAAUACUUUUAUACAAGGAUUUUUAAUAAUUGAAGGUUGUGCCUCUUUUCUUCAAAGAUAUUCUUUAUAUAUAUAAAGUAAACAAAAAAGAAUGCUACACUCCUUAAAAAAAUCCACUUAACAACCAAAUACUAAUAAUAUAAUAAUUAUAUUAAAAUUUAAAAUCUCAUAAAAGUAAAUUACAUUAUUGAUGUAGAGUACAAUGGUGGACAUUGACCUACAAACUUCUAACUUAUUGGAAAUCUUUACUAUUCGGUUGCCAAACUUUUCUUACUUGUUGAAUCUUUUGUCUUUAUUUGAUUUAUUGAUAAUUUUUAUUAGUUUAGUUGCUUCUUUAAUUAAUCAAACAUGUCUUUAUGUGAUUAGGGAUGCGGAUAAAAAAAAUACUUCUGAAUCCCUUUUCUAAAAUAUAAUUUUAAAUUUAAAUGUUUGAAACAUAUUUUUGAAUUCUGGAAAUUCUUUUUCAAAAUAUAUUUUAGGAUUUAGGAUUUAGAUUGUCUUUUAGAAUUUUUUUUUCCAAACUGUAUGUUUUGUAUUCCAGAUUUAUUUUUUAAAUUUUCGAAUUAUAUUUUUUGAAUUUUAAAUUUUCAAAUCUACGAUAGAAGGUCAUUUUAGAAAAUUUGAAAGAUGAUAGAAUGCAGAUUCGAAUUGGUACAAAAGAAGUGUUGUUUUAAUAAGUGGACUGUCCCAGAUUUUGGCCCAAAACUUUACUACAAAGAUCUGGUCAAAUACAAUUUUUUCUUCAUGCACCCUCAAAUUUCUAACUGUAACUCUAUAAUUUUUAAAAUAACAAUUUUACCUUUCAGAUGCUAAUAAUGUAGGGUAUUAUAAUUAUAAUUUACUACAUUUUUAUGUCUAAACAUAAGGCACAUGUAUUCUUAAGAACAUUUUUCAUUUUCAUAUGGUAGUUUACUUUUCACUUAAUAUCUAUUAUAUAUACGAUCAGAGCUUUAAUAUUCAAUUUAAUAAAUUCAUUUAAUUUUCAUAUUAUACAUAUAUAUAUAUAUAUGUAUAUUGAUAUCAUAUAUCCAAUUUUUAAUCUUAUAACACUUAAGAAUUUGUAGUAGCAUAUAAAAUUAAUCAAUUCAAUGGUUUUAUUGCAAAUUAGUAUACAGUAGAUUAAGUUUACAAAACUUUAUUGGGAAAAAAAUCAGUAAUAUGUGAAGAAAUAUAAAAUAACAUUAAUGAAUAGAAGAAAAGAAAGGGUCAAAUUCUUGGUACCCCUGAAUUGAGUACUUGAAUGUGAGUAUGUGUAUGUUCAACCCAAAAAAUAUGUAAGAAAACAGAAAUGAAUAUGAACAAACAAAAAAGAAGAAUAUGGAGAGAGAAAUCAAUUGAAUUGCAUGAGCUUUGGAGCAAAUCUGAGCAAUCUAUCCAAAGCAUGAGUGGUGAAUUUCCUUGCAAACAAAUGACAAAUGUUGGUGGUGUGACCAUUGUAGUCACAUGAUGUUCCAAACCUCAGCUUGUUCAAAAACUCAUUGUUCACAUCAUUUCUGUAAUACCUUGAAGGAUGAGCACCACCCUUUGCCCAAUCAACCCAUGUCAAGGUCCUAUUGGAGUUCCUCUUCCAAAACUUGAUGCUGACAAAUGUGGGCAAGUAGUGUUCAUCACUGUAGCAAUUGGGGUUGCAGUACUUUAAGAACACUGGGAAGUAGUGGUAGUCAGAGACUGUUUGAAGGGCAAGAAAACGGUCUAUUUGGAACCAUUGAGACCCUUUUCUCCAUUGGGAGAGCCUAAUCUGAGGCCUCAUUUGGGUCCUGUACCUGCCACGCCCCACUUCCCCUGGCAGAUCAUAGGCCUCCACAAAGGUCUUUGUUGAGUUCAUUAGAUAAGUGUAGAUGGUGGAGAAGUUGAACAAAGGGAUGCAUGACUCUGAGAGUAGUACAAAACGUUGGUUGCUGAAAUCAAGGAGUGCAUUGGCUAAUAAGCGUCUCUCUGCUUCUAUCAUGCUGUUCUCACCCCACCUCACUUCCUGCAUCAUUUUCACAGCACAGUAUCAUAUCAGAUUAUGAAUUUUGGGACAUGCUUUAAGUCCAAUGAUUGAAAUUCUCAGUUCACCAAACAAAAGGGUUGCUAAUGCAUGUUUUGUCUUCGUAAAUUUGGUUUUCAAAUUCAAAAAGUAUAUAAAUUUGUCAUUUCUAACUUUUUCUAACUUUUAGAAUGAAUUCUUAGAGAUGAAGGGUUAAAUCUGCAUGUUUUCCAAAGCUUAAAGAUCAAAUUCUUCUGCAUGAAAGUAGAUAAUAGUGUAUAUGUAUUUUCUAAAGUUGUUCAUGUUGUGUUUACCAUCUAAACAUAAAUGAAAUAGCAGAAAGGUGCAUUUAUUCUGAGCUCAGAUUCUUUUUCUCAUGCUAGAGACCGGGUAUAUGAAGAAAGGAAUUGUGAAAAGAAAAGUCUGAUGGGGGGUUGAAUAAUUGGUUCUUGAAAUAGAAAAGAAUAGAAUUUUCUUGGAAGUGCAAAAGGAGUGGAAUCAAAGAAAAGUAUGACCAGUUUGUAUUGACUGUCCAAUUCAGGAAGCAACCAAAAAACAGAAACAAAAAUGAACAUUCAACAGAUUCAGUGGACCUUAUACACUGUUCAGUUUUGUAAAAUUUAUUUACCUCCCAUGUUAUAUAGUAUUGAUACAAAAUACAGACAAAAAACAUGGAUAACUAGCUAACCAUGAAGAAAUUGGAAUUGUUAAAGGGUUUGAACUUAAACAUUGAAGUUCAUUGGAAAAAAUAAUGUGCUGAAAAAAGCAUAAGCUGUCUCAAAAGAUCUUAUUUAAAGGCAUUGGUACUGAUCUUUUUCAGCCUUUUAGCUGAAGUUGUUCUUUCAUCAAAACUCUUCUUACAAGCAAUCUUGCAGAAAAUUCAUAAUAAUGUGUGCAACUAUAGAGACUUAAUCACACGUUACAAAGUGUCCACUUGUUCAUGCAGACAAGUGUUUCACAAGUUAGCAGUUUCCUAAAAUAAUUUGUAACAGGUAUUUCCCUAAAAGAUCAAGUGCACUAGUAGCUAAAUACAAGUAACCUUGCCAAGAUAAUAACACAAGGUGUGGACAAAUACUAAAUUUGAUAUUUUAGAAAAUUUAAAAAAGAUUAAAAAAGCUAAAAUUAUAAAUCAUUCUUAAUUUUAUUAUGAACUCGAGUAAUUGAGUAACUUAAAAGUUGUAAAAGUCAGCAAUGGAAUCCGAAAAGGUGAUAUGGUGAAUGAAACUGGAAAAGUUGCAUCUUUUACUGCUUUUGGGAAAAAUCAAUUAUAGGAUUAUGGUUCUUGCAGAAAUGGUAAAUAUCAUUUAAGAACCAUUUUAGGAUGAGAAAAUUAAUUAUCUAUUUAAUUUUUUUGCUAAUUUCAAAACUCUACUUGAUCACAUAUAACUGGAAAACACGGAUUCUUAAUGAAAUAGGAAUAAAAAGGAGAAAUAACUAAGAAAGAUAAAAGAAAAGUUCAUUCCAAUCUUGAUACAUUGUUGAAUUAAUCUUCCUUACCUGUUUUAAACUAUAAUCACCAUAUAAAAUUCAAUACAACUAUAAAAAAAUAAUGUUAAUUUCUCUUUCACUUUAACAAUUCUUUGUCAUUUUUGUUCAGUAGAAAUGUGAAGAGACUGCAAGAAAAACAAAAACAGACAACCAGGUACUAGGUAAUAAUGAUACAUUAACAAAUCCAUCAGAUAACUAGAUUGAUAAUGAUACAUUGACAACUUCAUCCAGAGAUUCACAGAAAAAGUGUAUUUUGUCAUUUCAUAAAGAAAACUGAAAUUUUAGAUAAGAAAAAUGGAGUUGUAGACUGUAGAAAUUGUGAAUAUAUCAUAUAACUUUUCAUCUCUUAACAGUUAUAAAAGGUGGAAUGCAGGAACUGACCUUACUAGGGAUAUUGCGGCCAUGAAAGACAGAGUUUUUAGGCACUGUUUCAUUGGAAGAAGGGUAGGAAUGGACAUAGAUGGAAUACAACCCUUCAUUUCCUUUGAAAAAUCUCUCCCACAGAGGAGCCAACAGCACAGGCCCUUUUGUCAAAAACAUGAAUGCAACCUUUGGGGUCUGUUUGAAUGGGAGUUUGUGAAUCAUGGGAACCAUGGAGGCUUUCCACAACAACUCUUCAUCACUCAUAUCAUGCAUGGCCAUGGGGGACUUCAAGAACUCACUCAAUCCAAUCCUGGUGAAAUUCACCACCUUUGUGACCAAGGUGGAAUUAGAAGAAGGUAUGGUUUGGUUAUCCUUCUGGGGUGAAGAUGAGGUGUUUUUCUUUCCAGAAUCAAGGACUAAUCCUUCAAAACAGUGAGACUCAUUCUUUGUUUUGAUGUCUGGUAUUGGCAAUGAGAUAUUGGAGGAGAUUGGAGAGAAAGGUGGUGGUUUGAGGGUGUUGGAUGGGAGGGAGAAUUGCUGGAUUUGAAAGUUGAUGAAGGAGAAAUUCUUGACAAAGAAAGUGAGUGUGAUUCCAAUGAGUAAACCAAUGCCAAAAACUAGAGCAUGACCAAAGAAGUUGAGAAGGUCUAGUUGAGCAAAAAAAAGGUUCAGAUAUGAUCCUGCACCUUUGCCAUCACCUUUGCCCUGUUGCUCCUUGUUCUUCAUUGUGAUGAGACAAAUUCAGAAUAAGCUUGGAACAGUUCAGAAUAACCAAGAAUGUUAACUCUGAGAGUUUUUUAUACAGUGAGAGAGAUUGAAGAAGAAUCCAUGAAGCUUGAUUCUGGACUCAAAGAGAUACUUGAAUUGAUCCAAAAACAAUACCUAUAUAUAUUCUGCUGUUUACAUGAAGUGGGGGCAGAAAAGGUGUAUUCUUUUGCACAGUUUGUGAAGGGUUAUGAACUGUACACAGCAAUGGAACAUUAAAUUAUAUAUAUAAGAAAAAAGGGAAACGUUUUAUUUGGCUGAAUACAAGAAACUCUAAUGAAACAUGCAUUAAAGUUUGUGUACCUCAGUAAAUAUUAAUUUAAUGCUUUAAUUAUAAGUAUAAUGAUAAUGUUUGUUUAUAUAAAUAUCAUGAUGCUAUCUAAUUAAUUCUAUGAGCUAAAAAUAAUUUUUUUUUUCACAAUUUAAAGACUAAAAAACUGUUUUUUUUUUAAUUUGAAUGCCAAAAUAGUUACAUGUAAAUUUGAAUUUAAUGGGCUAGAUAAAAACAAUUUCUUAAUUCGUUUUUAUAUGUUAAAAUUGAUUAAAAAUGAUCCAUUUAAUAAAACAUUAAUUGAUUUAAUAAAAUUCAUUUACUAAAGAGGGAAAUUCAUAAUUUCUAAGACAUUUAAAUACAUUGUAUUUAAAUUUAUCUCAUUUGAAACUGAUUUUUUUUUAAUCUUUUAUUUGAAUCAAGUAAUUCAAAUUCACUAAAAAUUUUAAUUUUUUUUUUUGCAUGUGUUUCAAUCAUUUUCAAAUGUAAAGAAAAUAUCAAAAAAUAAUAAAUUUUUUUAAAAAAAAUGUUGAUAUUGAUGAUGUUUUUAGUUGACCUUAGUUUAUAUUAUUUUUAACUAAACUUCUUCUUGAUUUUUUUUCGACUUUUCGAUUGGCUAAAAAAAAAUUCCAAUUGGAAAUGAUAAAUAAAUAAUCUUAAUUAAUGUUAGUUAAAAAAGUUUUCAAUCAACCAUGGAAAGAAAAUUCUAGCAAAUUAUUCACAAAAAUAACAUUUUUGUUGAUGAUAUAAUGAUGAAUAUUGUAAAAAAAAUAAUUAAUCACUAUAUUAGAAUUAUUAAAUAAAAUAAUUAUGUCAUAAUCAUUAUUAAAUUAAAAUUAAUUUUUUUAAAAAUAAUUAAUUUUUAUAUUAUCUAAAUUAGAUACUAUUUUUGAGACACAGUAUUUAAAUUAAUUUAAAUUAUGAACAAAUAAUUUAUAAAUUAAUAUUUAAUUACCAUUACAUAGAUUUUAAAAGUUAUCUAAUAAUAAAAAUUAAUCUAAUUAUUCUAAUUUUAAAAUUUCUUACCUAAAUAACAUACUUUGGCAUAAAUCAUUUAAAAUUCUUAGAAAAAUUAUCUUUCUUAAUUUUUUUUAUCAAACACAUUAUAUAUGUAAUGAUGUUGAUGAUUUAAGAUGCUAAUAUAUUAAAAUUAUGAAGAGAAUCAUCACAAACAAAAAAGCUAUAUAUUAUUAAUGUAAUUAAUUUGUUUAGAAUAUUUAGUUUUAAAUAUUUUAUAACAAAAUUACUUGUAUAUAUUUAUUUGAUGAGGUUAAUUUUUUAAUUAUCUUCUUUUUUUUGUCACUUAGUUAUAGUAUGUUCUUGUUGUCAUCCAAUUAUAAGAUGUAAUAAUAAUACUAUUAAUUUUAUAAUAAUUACAUCAAAAUAUUUAUUAAUGAUUUUUACACAGUGCAUUGAUAUUAAACUUUUCUCCUUGGGAUCAUAUUGUAUAUUGUUUUAUGAUUUUUUUUGUUUUUUCAUAAUUUUUAAUAUUUGCAUAUGUUGCAUUAAUGUUUUAAAAACUUAAUCUUAAUUAUUUUAAGAUUCUUUAUAGUGUCCUUUUAGGUUGAUUAGAGAAAAUAGGAAAAUGUAAUAUUUUUCUUGGUUUUAAUAAAAUAUUUAUAUUUUACCAUUUUCAUUUUUACCUCACAAUGCAUAUACAUAUAUGUAAACUAAUUAAAAGUUAAAUGAAUGAUAAAACUAUAAAUAACAAGACAAUAAUUAAUGUUGUCUUGAAAUUUAAAAAUAACAGUUAAACAAACAAAAAAUAUCACUAAAAAGUAUUUAUAUAUAUAUAUAAAAAACUAAUUAAAAAGUAGAUAAAAGAUAAGAAUAUACAUUUUAAAAACAUAAUUAAUAUUAUCUUCAACUUUAGAAAUACAGUUAAAUAAUUUAUUUAUUUUUAAAAGUAACGUUUAAAAAAGAAACGAGAAAAGUACACGGAAUAGAAGUAUCAAAUUUUUUUAAAAAAUGUGGGUUUUACUUGGUAACUAUUACAAUUUAAUAUAAAAUAAAAUAAAUAUAAAUUGAUUAAAAAAUUAUAAUUAAUUAAAAAAUAAAUAGGAAUUGAAGAAGAAAAUUAAUAUUUUAUUUCAGUGUCUUUAUGGUAACUAUAUUCAAUUCAACUCAUUAAAUAUUCUUUAUUAGUUUUUUUUAAAAUAAAUUUAUUCUCGAUAUUUAAAUGUUAAGUUUCUCCUAAAUACAAAAAUAACUCAAAUAUAGCUAUUAAACAUUAUAAAGGAAACAUAAAAUAAACAAGUACUAAAUAGAAGAGAAGAUGAUAUGAAGUUUCACACGUUUAUUUCAGUCGUUAUUUUCCUCUUAGGCUAAGAAUAUAUAAUUUAGUGUAAAAAGUAUUUAAUCAAAGUUAUGAACUCAUAACAUUAGAUCAGAAAAAAAUUCAAAAAUAUAUAUAUAUAUAUAUAUAUAUAUGAUAAUAAAUAAUUAUGAUCUAAAUCGAAAAUAUGCAUUUCAUUUUAAUUCAUAGAUAACAAAUUAUAUGAAUAAGUUUGAAUAAUUAAAGUUUUACUCUCCAUGCAUUGAUUGAUUAUUUAGGAUAAAUUUUCAUUUUUUUACAAUUAUAAACAAAUUUAUCCCAGUUAACUAAAUCAACUAUCCUUAUUUUUUUUAAUUGACACAAUUUUUUUAUUUUUUAACUGCCUUUUUUAAAUUAAAAAUAAUAUUAGCUCUUAAUUAUAUUAUUACUUUUCAUGCAUUUUUAAUUAAUUUUCAUAUAUGCUUUUAUUCUGAUGUAAUUUUUUUUUAUACUUACUUUACUAAAGUAAUACAAAAUUAUUAUAUUUAAAAAAAACUUAAAUAAAACAUAAAAAAGAGUAUAACUUUCUCAAUAAUUGUUUGUGAGUUAAUGGUGGCCAAAAUCUUAUAUUUAUAACUAUGAAAGCAUUUGAUUUUACCAAAGCCAUUUUUUUCUUGCAAACUUAUUAUACAAUAAUUAUAAAUCGUUAUUAUAUGCUAUGGAAGCUAAAAAUUUAUUUCAUAACAAAGAAGAAACUAAUUUGUUUUGCCCUAGAAUAUGCAUAACAGGGGAUAUAUUUAUUAUACUAUCGAGAAUAAUAAGUUUUUUUUAUUGAACAAUAUUUAUUAAAUUAGAAAUAGUUUAAUUAAAUAUAAGUAUCACUUAAACUAUUUAUUUUAUGAGUGUAUUUAAAAUAAAAAUUAAAUUUACUUUAUUAUUAAUUAAUACUAACUAGUUUAACUACUUUUACAAAUGUUUAUAAUUACAUAUUUAUUUUUACAAAAAAAUUGAGACAUUUUGCGGAUAGAUAUUAACAGUGUGUUAUAGAUAGAAAAAUUUAAUGGAUAAUUCAUUUUUACAGAGAAUUUGAAAUACUUUUUAAUAAUUUAUUUGGAUAAAAAAUUGAAAUUCUAAAUUUAUUUUGAGUAAUUAGAUUAUUUAAAAUAAGAUAAUUUUAAAUUUUAUUUAUAAAAUAAAAAUAAAAAUUGUUUAUAUUCUCAAAGUGUCUUUUUUUAUUUAUUUCAUAAGGUUCAUCUUUUUUAAAUCGUUAUAAACUUUGUAAAUCCGACACAUAAUUGAAAUCACUGAUUAUUUUUAGUUGAUAUCGAUUACAAAUUAUUUUUGUAUUGAUGUUAUUAUAAAUUAUUUUUAUUUAAAUUUUUAUGAUUAUAUUUUUUAUUUUUGUAAAUCACUAUUUUUUUCUUGAUAUUAGAAACUUUUUUUUCGGUCAAUGCUGAGAGAGUUUUUUUCUCGGUAAAUAUGAACUAUUUAUUUUUCAAUUGACGUCAAUGAUGAUUAUUUUUGUUUUAUUUGCAAUGAUUUUUUUAUUAUCGAUAAAAAUAAUAUAUUUGUCAAUAAGUUUUUAUAACUUUUUGUAGUGUUGAUUGGAAAAACUUUUAUCCAACGUUAACUAAAAUUACUUUUGCUAUAUUAAAAUAUGUUGUUUACAAAAAAAUAAAAAGUAUAUUUUACAGUAUGUAAAAUAGAAUAGCACCAACUACUUUUACAAUAAAAUAAUUACAUACUUUAUAAAAAUGAUAAAAUAAAUAAUACUUAAUUAAUCAAAGACCUACUAAAAUUAAUAACUCGAACAGAUAAAAAUGUAUUUUUGAAUUUUAAAAUUAUAAAAAAUAGGGAGACAAACCCCACUCAAACCCAUAAAUAAUUAUACCAAAAUCCUACAAAUUAUUUGUUAAAUAGACACUUAUUUUGCAUAUAGUUCAAUCCAAUAUUGCUAAGUACUGUCCAGAAUGGGCUGAUAUUUUUCUCAGCCUUUUCUUCAUGCACCCCAUAAUUUUUAACUAUACUCCUAUAAAUUUUUAAAUAAUCAUUUUAAUUCUUGUAAAAGUAAUUUUUGGAUUAUCUGUUUUGUUUUAGAACAUGUUCUCUAAAGUUUCCAGAAAAUCAUUUCCUUAACAAAAUUUUCAAAAUAAGAUUUUUAGAGUAAAUUUUCCUUCCAUAAUGAGCUUUCGAGAAUAUAUAUAAUACAUUCCAAAAUAAGUUUUUCAAAACGUGUUUACAAGAACAAGUUUUUCGAAACACAUAAAAUAUUUUUCAAAACCUAAAUGAUAUCUUUCUACAUUAAGGAUUUUUUUUGUGUCAUUUUUUAGGGUGCAGUUAGUAAUAAUGAGGUGCAGAAAGAAAAGCCCAUAGUUUCAAGUACACAGAUGGGGCUUUUGUGUUGCGCUGGGCUUCAUCAUUGUCAUUUUCUCUUUUUAAGUGUGGUGGUUCUUCUUGCAGUCUGUCAAAUUUCUCCCUACACUCCCAUCAAUUAGGUAAAAUAUCCCAUUUAAUUCACCAUCAUUUUAAAAAUUGAUAUAUACUGUUUUCGUCGGCUGACUUUGGUCGGUCUUCAGGAUACUCUGACUUGUCUUCACAUGAUGUUCUGGAUGUUGAUCUUUGGGAUAAAGGAGACUCUACCUAUUGAUCACAUUUCAACGAUCAAGUCAGUGAGAACAUUCAAACUAUAAAUUUGUAUCAGUAUAUAGUUCAGAUAAACUUACUUUUACUCGGGGUCUCAAACCCCUUUUAUAGACAUUCCUUCAAUUAUUUUCAUCAAUCAGAAUAUUGUUUCAACAACAGGAAUAUAAUUUCAACAACAAGAAUAUAAUUUCAACAAUAAAACAUUCUGUCAAUGUGCACCUUUAUUUUCAGCACCACAUUAUUCCCAACAACUUUUAAAGAUAUAUAUGCUUUAAUUAAUUUUGUUAUUCCUUUUGUUAUUUCUACCUUAAGUAUCUUCUUCAUAUAAACUACCAAAUAUUUGGACCGACCUUGUAACAUGUCGUUGAGUCCAUACCUGCCUCAAGUCGAACUGAAUAUAACUUAUCCAACCAAGCUUACUACACUUAAGUGCUGGAACUACGACCAAACACGUCCAUCAGUACAUAUACUUUGAAAAGAAUUAUUUAAAAUACACAUUUCAAAACGUAUACAAUAUUUUCCACAAUUCCGAAAAACAUUUUCCAAAAUUCUGGAAAAUAUUUUCCAAAAAUAUAUUUUAUGGAAAUUUUAAAUAUGUAUUGAAAACCUUAUGAAAAAAGUAAUCCAUAAGUCAUAUUAAAAAGAGCAACAUAGUCUUUUUCGAAAUUGACAGGUGCACGAAAAAAAUUGUUAGGAUGCGUGAAAAAACACCUUUUUAAGUGUUUACAUAUAUAUAAGUCAAUUAUCCAUAUGAUCUUGUUAUUUAUUUAUUUUGUUUAAUUUAAACUUUCAAUUAAUAAAAAAGUAGAAAGUUUCUCAAUUAAAAAAAAAAAUUGUAAUAAUAUAUUUUUUUAGGUAUAAUAAAUAUUCCAAUACCCUUAUUGAAAUUUACACGAUUAAUCUAUAAGUAUACACUAUAUCUAAAUCAUAAUAAAUCGUUAAAAACUCUUUGGAUUUACAUAAAAUGUACCCAUAUAACAUCAAAGAAACACUUUAUCUCGUCCUAUAGCAGAAUCAAAAUUUCGUGAAUAACUCGAACGAGUGAAGGGUUUCUUUCCAUGCAUUUGACUUUAGCAUCCACUCAUAUUAAAAGGGGCAAAACUAAAGAAAUUUUGAGAUAAAUUAAGUUUAAUGGGUUGGGGAGUGCUGCAUAAUGCCAUGAUUUACUCUAGUGGGUUAGUAAAGUCUUCAAGUCAAAACUAAUAUUACACAUUGGAUUAAGGACAUUGAUUACCAUAUUAAAAUAUUCAAGUUUUUCUAAUGAAAUGCAUAGAAGUACAUUUUCAUAUGAUUUUUUUAAUGUGUUUCUAUAUACGUUUUAAGAGAACAAAAAUAUCUUAUUGAUUUUUUAAUCGUUAACAAAACUCUAAAACUUAUAUGUGGUGGCAGCCAUUUUUAAAAAAUUAUUUGGCAAUUUUUAAUUUAUAUUAAAGAAUGUGUUUGGUGGUAGGGAUUUUGCCAAUAUACAUUAUCAUCCUUAAGAAGAAGUUUUGAAAUAAAAUAGUGGACCAUAGUAAGUAUUUCAUUAUACAUUAAUAAAAUAGUGGUCCACAUCGACUUAAAUAAGUUAAACUAAAAAAGUUAUUUUUAUUUAGAUCAUUAUUUUUUAAAUUUGGUCUUACUUGAAUCGUUAAGUUGUGCAAUAGAUCUAUUUUCACAACUCUAGGUCAGACUUAUGUUAAGAUGAAUUAGGCUAGUCCAAAUUUAAGUCAGUUGGAUUAGAUCAGACCUAAUUAAAGUUAGGUCUAGUCACGAUCAUGUCAAGUUAGUAUAAUUGAUCCCAAAUUAGGAAUUAGGUUGGAUUAGAUCCAUGUUAAAUUGAGUGGGUCAGAUUCAGGUCAAACUGAAUUGAGUCAAACUCAUGUUAGACUAAAUUGGAAUGAGUCUACAUUAUCAAGUAAAGUGAGGCUCAAGUAGGCCAAGUUGAACAAGGUAUAGGUCAGACAAAGUUAGACGAGACCUAGGUCGAACUAAAUUAGAUGAACCUUAGAUUAGAGUGGUCGAAUAAAGACAAGAUAGAUCCUACCUAAUUAAGACAUGUCCAAGUUAAGUCGAAUCGACUUGUGUCUAAGUCUUAACAAGUCAAACGCAUUCUAGAUUCAAUUUGAGUUGAUUAUCGAACCUAAAUUAAAUUGAAAUAUCUAAAAUGUAUUAAACUUAUUCAUAUAUUUUUAUUACCCCAAUAUAACCAAUUAUGUUGUAUAUACAAUAAAUAAAUAAAAUACUUUAUAGUUGCUUAGUAUAACUAAUUAUCGUGACUUCUCAUAAUUAUUGAGGUUUUCAUAAUCAAUUACAAAUAUAUUAUAUUUUAUUACUAUUUUAAUAAUAAAAAAUUAAAUUAAUAAGUAAACAAAUAUAAUAAAUAACAUUAUCAAAAUAAUUGAAAUAAAUUUUGUUUUCAUUUAUUUCUUUUUAACCAAAUACAUCCAUAGCAAAGCAAAUUACACCUUGUGUGCCCAAUACAGGCUCUUUGGUUAUACUUUAUUUCCUGCUUCUUUCCCUUUGGAAAAUAAGACUGAAAGUGGAAGAAAAAGGAAGGUGAUAUAUAUUGAAGAGAUUAUGUAGUCAGACUCAGCACACUAAAGAAGCACACAUUUUUCAUCCUAAAGAAUCCACAAAGCAUAUUCGGAAUUGCUUUAUAUAUGUGUGAGACACAUUAUAACACAUUAUAAGGUUGCUAACUGUAGUUGAAGAUAUGAACAAUGUUGAAAAUAUUUAGUGGGUUAUAUCUCUACAUUACCAACAAGUAUAUCAGAGACCAAAAAAAUAUGUAGCAGAACUCAGUGCAAGUGUAAAAUGGAUUCAUCUUCCAUAUUUGGAGAGAGAAGAAGACUUAAGUUGUUUGGGUGCAUGGAUCAUAAAUCAUGUUAUCCAUAAAGGGGUUGCAACUUUGUGGUUAGAUCCAGAAGGCAGAGACAAUUUGAUAUGGAAAACAUCUCAGACCAUCAGCAUUUGCAUUUCUUGAUUCAAACAUCAAAAGGUUGAAAAAAGAAGCGUUGAAUUGCGUCAAUAGUUAUCUGUACGGUUCUUGUUUUUGUCCAUACGUGGAUUACACCUAUGGAGUUUUCAAAAAUCUUAUCAGAUAAGUAGUUGUAUGAUUCUUAGUUGAUGAGUAGAAUAAAUAUUCAAAAUUGUUAAUGAGUGUGUUAGGAUAUUAAGAGGUGGAUUUUAAGAAGGUUUUUUUGACUAUGAUGGAGUUAUUUUUUUUGGUUUUUAUCAAAAUGGGAUCCGUUUAAAAAAAAUUACAAAUUUAGGCAAGUCGUGUCAAUUCGACACGACUUCAUAUGCAGAAAUCGUUCCAAUUAGGCACGACUUUUGUCAUGUCAUACUGAAGUCGUGCCAACUUGACACGACUUCUGCCCCGUCAUAUUGAAGUCGUGCCAACUUGACACGACUUCUGCCUUCUCAUACAUAAGUCAUGUCAAGUUGGCACGACUUCUGCCACGCCAUAUUUUUUAAAUUUUAUUUUUAAUUUUAUUGUUUAUAUAUUGGAUAUUAAGUUAUGUAAUGUUAAAAAUUAAUUUGAUACAUAAUUUUCUAAGAAUGUUAGUUUUAAGGAAAAAAAUUUGGAUAAUAGUGUAUGGAUAAUGUUUGACGGUAAUGUAAUACAAUAACCUGAUUAUUUGAUUAAUUAAAAAAUGAAGAAAAUUGUUAUUGAAUUUGGAAAUAAAUAGAUAAAUGAAAAAUUAUUAUAUUUGGAAAAUAAAUAGAGAAUUAUUGUUUUGAAUUUGCAAAAUAAAUAGUUUGAGAAGUAAUGAUUUUACAAAACACGUAAUGAUGAGAAGAAAUUAAUUUUUAACAUUACAUAACUUACUACCCAAUAUAUAAACAAUAAAAUUAAAAAUAAAAUAAAAAAUUAUGACGUGGCAGAAGUCGUGCUAAGUUGGCACGACUUUAGUAUGACAUGGCAGAAGUCGUGCCUAAUUGGGACGACUUCUACAUAUGAAGUCGUCCUAAUUAGACACGACUUGCCUAAAUUUGUAUUUUUUUUUAAACGGACCACAUUUUGGUGAAAAAAAAUAAAAAUAACCCCAUCAUGGUCAAAAAACCUUUUAAGAAAGUCAAUCAUAAAAAAAUCAUUCAUUCAUAUAUAAUAUGAGUCAUCGACUUAUAUAUUAUAAAAUGUUAUGUGAGAUUUUGUACGUUAGAGCCGAAACCCUUUAAUUCGUACGUAAUACUAUAUAUUUAUGGGUAUAGUUUGAUAACAGUUUAAUAAUGGAUAAUUUGACAAGUUUAAUAAAUUCUCGCUAUGAUAGAAUUCAACGUACUCGGACUCUGAUACCAUAAUACUAAGAAAUGAACUUUUAAAGUCUAAUUCAACUUACAAAACCGACUCAAAAGAAUGAUUGCACCACUUAUAUUCUAAGAGGUGUACAAAGUAAAUCUCGAACCUAUAAUUCAAACAUUUGAUUCAAUUUUUUACAUAAUUUUUUCCACAUCCAAUAUUGUUGGGUCAUGGGCCUAGGCCGACCCAUUGUCAUUAAAGGCUAGACACCGAUCUAAAUAUCGCGGGUAUAGGUCAACCUAGUGAUCGAGCACAACUUUUAGCCAGCAGUAGCCUUACUUGCCUGUGCAUAAGGCUAGGGGGCAUGUUGGGUUAUUGGCUUGGGGCUGACCUUAGGUCAUUUAGGUAGGAGGCUGAUGUAAAUGAAUAAUAUAAAGGAAAUAGCACAAAACGGAGAUUUGGAUUAAUUAGCAUUAAUCAGGCAAUAAAGAGAGAAUCAUAACGACAUACACAAGGUUAAGAUUGACUCCAUAUAUACUAGGUAAAACUUCACAGAUAGACAUAUCACAAUUUAGGUUAAGAAUACACUUGUUCUUAACUACCUUGAAUGUCCUGGAUUUAAGUCUCCUAUUGACCUGUCUAGAACAAAUAUAAAAUAAAAACUGUUUAUAUGUAUUAAAUAUUGUGGAAGUAAUGUCUUUAUAAUUUUCUUUUAUGCACAACUUGAAUGUUAUAUUUCUCAAACUAAUACGGGGAAGUUCCUCUUAGUUGAGACUCAUUUGUGGGAUAUGAGAAGACAUUAUGAAGUAAUAAAUUGAUAGUCCAAUAUUUGAACAUUUUUAUGUAGAACAUAGAAAUGUGAGAUAUUGUAAGAAGAUAUUUUUUUAUAUGUUUUUCUUAUAAGAGUUAAGAGAUUCCUUAAAUGUCUAAUAUUUUAUUCAUUCUAUUAUUAUUUAUUGAGAAAAAAAUCUAUAAACUAAUGUAACCUACUAUUAUUAUUAUUUAAUAUCAAAACAAAAAGGUAGAUGUUGCCUUCUAUCAUUUUUUAGUGUGAUAUACUGUACACACCAUUAUAUCCCACCUUAAGAUAAUCUAGUUCUCUCCAGAGUUUAUUACUCCUUUGUUGUUGAAUUUUCCUGAAAUCUUCAAUAAAUAUAAUAUGGAGUAAGUGAUCAAUCUUUGAGUUGUAUUUUUUUUAAAUUUUUAUAUAAAUUUCGAAUAAAUAUGAGUUGAAAAUUUUACAUGUUUAUAUCUUUUAUAUAAAUUUAAUUACGACUUAUUUAAGACCAAAUUCAGUCGAUGUGUCUUCUAAAACAACAAAUAAUAAUUAUACAUCUAAAAAUAAAUAUAAUGAAAUAAAUAAUCGUUAACUGGUAGCUGAACUACUUUACCCUUAUUUGCAUAGUAAACUGAGACUUUACUUAGUUUGUGUAUUGACCAUGAUGUGUGUUGGAAUUGAAAACAGUGAUCAUUUGACAAAUUUGCAAAGGAUGUGUCUUGUGUUGUAAAUGGUCAACGAUUGUAAAAACCAUGUUCAGAAUCUGUGUUGCGCACUUAAAGCACUUUCGUUUGAAUCGUGCUCACCAAAUUCAUGAAUCAUUAUUUGACGAAGAAAAAGGUUUCAUGGUUUCACUUUGGGUUACAAAAUCGAGGUUAAAUCACACUGACCCACCUGAAACUCAUAAAAUAAACACACCAUUUAUUUAUUUAUUUAUUCACUUUCAUAACUAAAUAAUGAUUUUGGUUAUUUCGUAACUUAUUUUAUAUCAUUAGAUUAUAUACCUAUGGCCACUUUCUCUAAAGUUAGGUCACCUGAUGAAAUAUUAUUAAUUGGUCUUUCAAGUUAAGGAUAUAUUCAUCUCAACUUCCUUAGAAUCCAUUAUUUCAAGUGACUACUGACUCAUAUUCUAUGUAAUGUGAGUUUGAGUUCCACUAAUCACCAAAACACUUUUCAAAGUGUUUAUAGAGUUUCAUGGAUUUCUAUAAUUUAUAACUUAUUGAGAAUCAACCCACGUAAUUUUUUUAUGUUUAAUAUUUUUGUUUUAAAAUUUAUUAUCAGAUUAAAUUUUGUUAUUGUUCUUAUCAGAUCAUUCUUAUUUUCCUCUCGGCUUCUUGAUCUUUUGUUAUUGAUUUAGGCUUUCGGUUACUGAAUUAGUUAACUUGGACUCUCUUAUAUGGGUUUGGGCGUUUUUUCGACUAUUAGAUGUAGAUGUGGGUAAACUCUCGACUUCUAGGUCUAGGAUAACUCUCGGAUGGGUGUUUAUCUGCAAGGAACUCCAAUGAUAAAGUCGGAAUCUCAGAUAAAAUCAUUCCACUUAGUAAAACAGAUCACCUAUUUAUAGUGAUGGUUAUUGGACUUUAACUUUGAUUAUAUUUUUACUUUUCAAACCUUACUAUUACUAAGUAUAUUUUUAAUUUCUAAACUAUUUAUUAAAAUUUAAUACAAUAUUAUUCUAAAUUUUAAUAUUUUGACCGUCUUUCACUCAGCUAACCAGUACACUAAUCAUGAAAGUGAUAUUCCCAUAAUUUUAUAUUAAUAUGACAGUUGAUAUUUUAUUACUAUAAUUUAUUUUUUAAUACAUAGGGGAAUAGGAAUCCUUGACUGUAUAUGCAUAUUAUAGUUGUUUAGUUCUAAUAAAAUUUUGCACAAAAGAAAAAUAUAUAUAGUUAUACAGUAUGAGUUGACAUGACAUGAACUCCUCAGAUUUAAAUAAAGUAAAGUAAAUUAAAAACUUAAUAAUUUGAUUGAACGAAAUAAUUUUCUGGAUUUGAACUUGUUUUGAAUUAUGUUUUAUGUUUGUUUAAGAAUAAAUAUGAUUAGGAUGAACUCGAUUUUUGUUUUACUUGGAAGCUACCCUUAACUUGUUGCUUAUGCACAUUUGUUUGAAAGAUUAAGCUGUGUUUACCUUCAGAUAAUGUUUGUUUAAUGUUAAUAAUGUUUCUAGAAGGUAUUAUAAUUGAAGAAAAAUGUGUUACACUGUAUAGCAUAUUAGGUAUGUUUAAGGAAAUGAUUAAAAAAUUGAUUGAGACUAAUAUUUUUAGAUGAUUGAGAGAAAACCCUGAGACACUAUGGAUAUACUUUAAAUAAUAAUAAUAAUAAAGGUUAAAAGAUGCUUUUCCUCCAUCUUAAUAUAUUAUAACGUAAAAUUAAUUUUUAUUUUUAGUCUAAAUUUUAAAUCUCUUAAAUAUUUAUGAUAAAAAAGUAUUAAUAAAAAUUUAUUUUAAUAUUUUUUUAUUACAAGUAUAAGACAUCUAAACUUUAGCAUAAGAUGAAAACCAAUUUCGCCAAAAACAGAAAAAAUAUAUUUAACUCUACUACUUCUACUACUAAUAAUAAUAAUUUAUCAUUAAUAAGGAUGUUUUCAUUAUUUAACCGUUUUUUACACGUUACCCAUUUUAAUUUUAUUACUGGUAUAAAGAUUACCUAUAAUUAUUAAUAAUGAAGGAAUAUUUUUUAACCCUUUUUAUAUAUUCUCUUACCUAUUUGACUUUUAUGAUCACAUUUAUUAUUUUAUUGAUUUUAUUAUUUGUAAGAAAAUUAUUUAUAGUAAAUAGUAACUAUCCCUUAAGUGCUAUGUAAUUGUAGUAUUAUAAAAGUUAAUACAAAAUAUUUUUGUAUAGUUUUAAUAUGAUUUUUAAUAAUUAUUAUAAUAUGAUUAUUUUAUAAUUAUAUUUUUUAUAUAAAAAGUAGAUAUACAUGUGUUUAUGCUUUCAAUAAUAAUAAUAAUAAUGAUAAUAAUAAUAAUAAUAAUAAUGUAAAGAAGGAACUCCGUGUGUAUAUUAUCUGAAUAUAUAGUAUGAGAUAACAACAAAAUCAAGAGUUUAAUAUAGCUUAUCAAAAUGACCUUUACGUUACAUUGACUAAUGAGUUAUUUUAUUUAAAUAUUUAACAUUUAAAUAUUUUUAGUUUUUGAAUAAAAUAAUGAGUUUUGAUUUUAGUCUCUAAUUUUAUUAUUUAAAUCUAAAAAUUAUUACUUUUUCCUUUUUAGUAUUAUAUAUCACUAGUUAUUGUUAUAUGUAUGAAGCGUUAAGUGACUAUUCCAAAUAAUGUUACUAUUGGCACAUUUGAAAAGAUUUAAAACUUUGUAAAAUAAAAAUUAUUUAUUCAUCUUAAAAAAACAUUAAGAACUAAAAACAAUUAUUUAAAAUCCUGGAAUGAAAACAAAAAAUCACACAGUGAUUAAAACAAAAAUUCACACCUUUAACAAUAAAACCAAUUAUUUCAAAAUUAACUAGAAUAAGUAAUAAAUAUUUUUUCUAUUGAAAUCAAAACCAAAACUCCUUAUUUCUAACAUACUAAAAAGUAUCUAAACCUAUAAUUAAUUACUAUUUAUAUAAUUAAACAAAAAGUUUCUUUUUAAUUUCUAUACUUAGAAACAUAUCAAUAUAGUUUCUUAUAUAUAACUUUGAGCUCUUGUUCCUAUAUAUAAACUUAUUGCGUUUUAAUUUUUACAGCAAAAAAUAAAAGAAAUAUAUACGCAAGGGGAAAAAAAAUCAAGGAUAGUAACUAAAAAUCAUAAAAGUGAAAUGAGCCAAUUAAACCUUUAUUUUAUCUUGUUAAUUAUAAUCCUCUGAUUUUUGAAAUACUUAUUUAUUUAUUUAUUAUUAUUGUAUUAUUAUUUUAAAGAUUAAGAUAAUAUUAAUUAAUAUUUGGACGAAGUAUUUGAAUGUGUUUAGGUGGUAAAUGGAUAGGUUAAUGGAAAAUGGUGUGAUUGGUUUGACAUACUAGUAGAAAGGGAUAAGAAAAAAGGUUAAUAAAUGAAGAGAUUGUGAAAGGAAUGAAGAAGGAUUGGAUGGUGGAGGAAUGUGUUGUGCAAAGCCAAGACAGGCAUAAGCUUGCACCAGCAUGGGGCUAUCAAGUGCCAACUAAUCCUCGCCACACACUCUCCUCGUGCCUCCCUUGUGCCUUUCUUAUCCUAUGCCAACUCUUUCACCUUUCCCUUUCUCCCCAAACUAACAUAUAAUAUAACUAUUUCCUCAUAAAAACAAUAACUUUUCAAAUUAAAAUAAAUUAUUCUAAUAAUUUUACACUAGAGACAACUAAAUGUAAAAUUUGAAUCACAAAACUAUAGUACAAAUACGAAACACUAAAAACAAAUAACAUUCCACGUCUAAUGCUUCUUCUAGUCUCAUGUUUUCAACCCUGACGAAUACAACCUAUGAGGUUCAGACACUUUUAUUAAAUGACGUAUCUGUAUCCGACACAUGUAUCGGUAGGAUACUUAUCGCUGAAUUGUUCAAUUCAAAAAAUAUUUGUUGGAUUUUUUAAAAUUUCAGCACGGUUCUAACACAAUUUUAAAAUGUAUAAAUACAAUUAUUUUCUAAAAAUUCAAAUUUAUUGUAUAAAUUUUUAUUAUGAUUAUAAAAAAUAAGGAAUAAAUUCUUUUGAACCAGUAAUGAAAAAU